AUUUAAUUGUGAGUAUUUAUUUCUUGAGCUUGAUAAUCCCAUGCUUUAUACUUUAGAUGGAGGAACCAUCAAGGCAUAUCCAUUCACCAACGAACAUUUUGUUACAAUUGAGGUUAGGGUUGAAAGCAGUAAAAACCUCAGGGGUCACACUGAAAUUUCCCAUAAUGCUGAAGCAUGUGUCUCCAAUAUUUGCACCAUAAAUCUUACUGCACACUAGAACAGAAUUUGUUCCAGUUUCAGCUGCACCCAUCAAGAAAAUAAUAUAUUAUUAAAUAAAAUUUACUUUUUAUAUUUAGGGUCAUGGGUCUUUUUAGGCAUAAUUAAUACUAGCAAGGUAAUAUAUUUAGGUUUGUUACUUACAUGAAAGUAUUCUACUUUUUGCCACGUAAACGGAGAGAAGGAACAGCAAGAACAAAGCUGAAAAGAACGGCUGAUACUUUGUAGUUGGCUCUUGCCAUUUCAGUUGUUUAAUUGCACAAAAACUGAUUUUAUGUUCGUCCCUUUACCUUUAAUCGUUGGAUUGGUGGAUGAAUUUGUUAAUGAUGUGUCUGCAUUUAUAGUGGAAUUACUUUAGAUAUUUAUCAAAAUGAGACGAAAAUUGGACGUUGUAAUUUCCUUCAAUUGACCACACGGUUGCCGACAUCGUUGUACACAUUACAUUAUCUACAACUUGUUAUGAAAUACAUAUCUAUAUGAAUGUCCACUAAUCAAAUAUAACUCUCACUACUCUUCUCCAUUAUGUAGAGAACCUCCAUUAUUUCUCACCAUUAUAGUUGUAACUCUCACACUUUCAUAAUCUUCCCAUGAUCUCAAAUGUUUAAUGCAAUAUUUAUGACAUUCUUUUAUAUACUUGUUAGAAUAUUAGAUAAAGGCUGAACUAUUUGGGCUAUUCUUAUAACUUAGGUCCAUGUCUAUAUUGAGUCCAUUGUUUUGUAUUAGUUAGGCCAUCGGGUCAGGCCCAUUAUUUAUAAGAGGAGUCCCUCAUUUUUGUAACCAGAUUGACAUUUCUCAAUGUAGAAAAUAUCUGCUUUCUCCUGAACCUUCUCUCAACCUAUGAACCCUAGUUUACAUUUUGUCAAUCUCUCUAUAAAUUUCGAUAAUUUACAUGGUAUCAGAGCAUAGAUUCUGGUAGAUCGUAUCAUUAGCUUCCGAUCGAUGUUAACCUCUUCAGUUUUCAUCGAUUGUUUUUUCGUUUGGACUGCAUUCGUAAUGGAUUAUGGUUUUGUUUGGUUUUUGUUGGAUGAUUUCUUCUCAUUAUCGUCCGUCUCUGCUGGAUUUUACUAUUUCUCUGGAUAUUUGACUGUACUUGGCUGAUUUGCUCAUCUGAUUCAAGCUAGGGUUUUCUCGUCGGUGUUUAGCUGAGCCACCGGAAGUUCGAUCACAAGGAUGUUCUCUUUUCAGUUGCAAAAUAGGGGGUACACCAGUUCUCUCUUCAUAUUUCAUAAAUUUGUUUGUUGAAUUGCUGACUGUUUCUUAUUGAUAUAUUUCCUCUCAAUGACGAAUGAUAAUCCUGCAAUUACACAUUCUUCUUCCUCUACUGCAUCUCGUACUAUAUUUCACGAAGAUAAUUUUACACAUCCAUGUCAUCCAUUAUAUAUACAUCCAUCGGAUGUGCUGGGAACCUCUUUGGUCUCUAGUCCAUUUGAUAGAAGUUGCUAUGGCAGCUGGAGGGAGAAACAUCUUGGUUGCUAUCUCCAUUCAUAAUAAACUUGAUUUUAUCAAUGGCACCUCUACAAAGCCACUUCUAAGAUCUCCUCUGGCACGUCAAUGGCAACGGUGUAAUGAUCUUGUAGUGUCAUGGUGGGUUAAUUCCUCGUCAAAAAAAAUAUCUCAUAGCGUAGAAUACUCUACAUAUGCUAAAGAUAUUUGGUGUGAAUUGGAGGAGAGAUACAGUAAGGCUGAUGGGGCCAGAGUUUUUGAGCUAAAGAAAGAAUUAGCACAUAUCUCUCAACGGUCUUUAGACAUAGCUUCUUACUUUAAUAAAAUCAAAUAACUUUGAGAUGAAAUAGCUUCUUAUAAGGUUAGAGUUUGUAAUUGUGGGGGUAAGGCUGCUGAAGAUGAAGAGCAGAAGGUUUAUCAGUUCCUUAUGGAUCUGAAUGAUACCUAUAUGCAAACUCGCAACAAUAUUUUAAUAAAGAAACCACUUCCAUCUGUUGGAAAUAUGUACAACAUCUUAUUAUAUGAUGAGAAGCAUAGGCAGGUGUCUUCUGUCCCAAUUCUCCACAGUCUGCUUCAUUAAAUGUUCGGACUUCUAAGCCAUCAUUUCCUUCCAAGGUUUCUUUUGAGGCUCCCAAGUCUUCUCUCAUAUGCAAAUAUUGCAAGAAACCUAGGCAUUCUAUAGACAAAUGCUAUAAAUUACAUGGAUAUCCUCCCAAUUUCAAGUUCAACAAAGGACCUCCCCCUCACAGAACUACUGCACAUGUUGAGCUUGAAUUUUCUGGUGGCUCUUCUGUGCCUUGUGGUUCUGAUAGUCCUGUUGAGAAUGAGUAGUCCUCUAUGAUACCUGGUCUUACCAAGGAUCAAUACUCUCAGGUGAUGAUCUGAUUACAAUAAUCCCAAAUCUCUACUUCCCCACAUUUUCCACUCUCUUGGCUUUUGCUAACUUUGCUGGUAAGCUUAUGCCUUAUGAGGGUGUUUCUUAUGGAGCUUGUAUGCUUUCUAGUAUGAAUGGAAUUGUUUGGAUAAUAGAUUUUGGAGCUACUGAUCAAAUGACUUCCAUCAGGAGUUUACUUUUAGAUAUAAUUACUCUUCUUAUUCCUUAUCUUUUGUCUCUUCCAAAUGGGUAUAAAGUAAAGGUUACCAAUGUUGGUUCUUUAGCUUUAUUUUCUGAUUUAAUUCUUCAUAAUGUUCUUUACAUCCCUAGUUUUAAACAUAAUCUCAUAUCUGUCCACAAGCUUUUGUCUCAUUGUGAUGAUGUUGUACAAUUUACCAAGUCUGCUUGCACUUUCCAGGGCCCUUCAGUGAGGAAGCCAGUGGUGCUUGGUAGACUAAACAAUGGACUUUACAAGUUGUUCCAACAUGUCACUUCUCCUGUUGAAUCUGUUAAUGUCAAUUCUUAUUCUUCUAUUGCUUGUUCUCUACAUGUAGUGUCUAAUAAUGUUGCUAUUGAUAAUUCAUCUGUAAAUACCAUGGUUGAUUCAAAUAAAAUGAAUAAAUCUGAUGUUGUUUGGCAUUAUACACUUGGACAUAUUCCUUUUUUCAAAAUGAAACUUAUUUUUGGUCUUGAUUGUAGACUAUCCUCCAAACAGUCUUUCAUAUGUCCCAUUUUCCCCUUAGCAAGACAAGCUGGGCUCCCUUUUCCUGAUAGUUCUAUUCAGUUCACUCACCCUUUUCAAUUUGUACAUAUAGAUACUUGGGGUCCCUACUCUACUCCCACUCAUUCUGGUUCUAAAUACUUUCUUACUACAAUAGAUGACUAUACUAGGGCUACCUGGACACAUUUGAUGGGAGCAAAGAGCAAUGCUUUUGAUUUGUUAAAACCUUUCAUCUUUAUGGUUGAAACACAGUUUCAAACUAAAGUACAGACUGUGAGAAGUGAUAAUGCUUUAUAGUUAGGCUCCAAUUCCUCUAGUUCUCUUUUCUUCUCUGAAAAAGGGGAUCAUUCAUCAAACUUCUUGUCCUCAUAUCCCUCAACAAAAUGAUGUAGUUGAAAGGAAACAUAGACAUUUGUUAGAGACUGUCAGGGCUCUUUUAUUUCAAUCUCACCUUCCUAUUAAAUUUUGGGGUAAUUGUCUUCUUACUGCUACUUACCUGAUAAAUAAAUUUCCUUCACCACUUCUCAAACACAAGAGUCCCUAUGAGUUACUAAAUUCUCGUCUCAGAUCCUUUGGCUGCCUUUGCUACUCAAUUGUGCCCAAACCUCAUAGAGACAAGUUUCAUCCUAGGUCUAUCUUUUGUGUGUUUAUUGGCUAUCCUUUUGCCAAAAUAGGUUAUAAACUUUACAAUUUGUCCACUAAAUCAUUUUUUGCCUCCAGAGAUGUGACUUUUCAUAAGCACGUCUUUCCUUUCUCAAAAUCUUUUGUUCCCUAAUCUCUUGGCAUACCUUCUUCCUUUGUUCCUAGUCACUUUUCCGAUGAUUCGCAUUCUCCCCUAUCUCCUCAUGUUCUUGUUUCUUCUCCCCAGUCCUCUCUCAUCUCUACUCCUCCUUCUCCUUCCUCAGGUUCCCCUGAUUUCAUUUUCUCUCCUUUCUCUAGCUCAUCUUCCCAUUCUAUUCUUCCUUCAUCUCCUACUCAAAUUACAAGAUCUAGUAGGCCUCAUACUAUUCCUGCUUAUUUUUAGGAUUAUGUAUGUCCUAUCCUUCCUCCUUCUGCAUCUCUCCUUGCUCCUUCUAGUUCUGAGUCUGUUUCCUUCAAUGCCACCAUUAUACAGCUCCACAACCCUGAACCUUAUACUUACUCUCAUGCUGCUGCUAUCCCUGAGUGGUAGGAUGCUAUGAGAAAGGAGUUUGAGGCUUUGGAGGCUAAUAGAACUUGGGAUAUUAUUGAGUUACCCCCGGUAAAAAUCCUAUAGGCUGCAAAUGGGUAUACAAAGUAAAAUAUAGAGCUGAUGGGAGUCUGGAAAUGUAUAAGGCCAGGUUGGUAGUUAGGGAUGAUACCCAGGUUGAGGGGGUUGAUUUUCAUGAAAUAUUUUCUCCUGUUGUUAAAAUGUCCACUGUGAAAUCUUUAAUUGUUGUUGUUGUCAAGCAACACUGGCUUCUAUUUCAACUUAAUGUUAAUAAUGCAUUCUUACAUAGAGAUCUUGAUGAGGAGGUUUUUAUGAAGGUACCUCCUGGAUUAUCUGUUCCUCCUUCUUGUUCUUCUCAUUUUCCUUUGGUUUGCAAGAUACUUAAGUCCCUCUAUGAUUUGAGACAGGCUUCCAGAAAAUGGUAUGCUAAAUUAUCUCAGGCUUUUUGUUCUAGAGGAUAUUCUCAUUCUUUAAAUGAUCACUCCCUAUUUUCUAAGGUUCUAGGACUUCUUUGGUCAUUUUACCUGUGUAUGUGGAUGAUAUCAUCCUUAUUGGGACUGAUUUGUCUAAGAUUUCUUUCAUAAAAGGCUUUAUGUAUGAACAGUUUAGAAUUAAGCACCUUGGUUCUCUUAAGAGGUUCUCUAUUCUGAUUAUAGGGUUCUUCUUCAUCAAAAGAAGUUUGUUCAUGACUUAUUGGAUUUUUUGCUUCUUCUGCUGUCGUUUGUCUUCUUGCUCUUUAUGAGAAACUGAAGGCUUCUGUUGGUGAGCCUUUGCUCAAGCCUGAAGAGUAUAGGUGCGUGGUAGGUAAGUUGAAACUCUUGACCCAUACAAGGCCUGAUAUUAGCUUUGUCGUUCAGCAUCUCAGCCAGUUCUUGCAGACUCCUUGUGUUCCCCAUAUACAGGAUGCUUUACACUUGUUGAGUUAUUUGAAGGACACUUCUCAUAUUGGACUUUUCUUUAGUAAUUCACCUGAUCUUUCCUUGAUGGUAUAUUGUGAUAGUGAUUGGGCUUCUUGUGCUGAUAGUAAAACAUCUGUGACUGGUUUCUGUGUUUUCCUUGGUGAUUGUUUGGUGAGCUGGAAAUCCAAGAAGCAGCCUAUGGUCUCUCUUUCCUCUGCUGAAGCUGAGUAUAGGGCCAUGAGUAAAGCUGCAGCUGAGGUCACUUGGCUUUCCAUGUUAUUAUCAGAUUUUGGUCUUCCUUCUUCUUCUCUCAUCCCUUUGUAUUGUGAUAAUCAGGCAGCUUUGCACAUUGCCCGCAACCCAGUAUUUCAUGAGCAGAGUAAGCAUAUAGGCUGGACUCUCAUUUCUUCAGAGAAAAAAUUGGUGAUGAGCUGAUCAGCUAGGGUCAUCUUUCCAGUAAUGCUCAAGCUGUUGAUAUUCUUACCAAGGCCCUUCCUAGGCCUGCUCAUCAUUUUCAUCUUCCCAAGUUGGAGGUUUUAUCACCCUCAACUUAAAGGGGGCUGUUAGAAUAUUAGAUAAAGGAUAAACUAUUUGGGCCAUUCUUGUAACUUAGGUCUAUGUCUAUAUUGAGUCCAUUAUUUUGUAUUAGUUGGGCCACCGGGUCAGGCCCAUUAUUUAUAAGAAGAGUCCCUCAUUUUUGGAACCAGAUUGACAUUUCUCAAUGUAGAAAAUAUCUGUUUUCUCUCGAACCUUCUCUCAAUCUAUGAACCCUAGUUUACAUUUUGCCAAUCUCUCUGUAAAUCUCGAUACUUAACAUACUUCUAUGUAAUACUAUAAAUAAAGAAUGAGAAAUGAUAUUGUACACACUUGAAAAGAAUUGGAAAACACUUGAUGAAAUAAGAAACUCCUCUCUUUCCUCUCUUUAUCUCUUGUCUAUUUUCUUGAUUUAUAUUGUUACUUUGAGCUUAGUUUCUUAACACAACCAUGUGCUCUUGUCCAUUUUUCUUUUCUUGGUUGUUCUUUUUCAUUUUUACAUAGAUAAUAAUAUCGGGAUCUUAGUCCAAUAACUGGUCAAUAUAAUCGUUGAAAUUUGAUAAGAAUAAUUUUCAUGAUACACCAAACAAAAUAUUGCACUUUGCGUGUCGUAUAUGCUUUUUAGUGUUUAAAAAAAUGGAUGAAAAAUUAAAUGAGUAGAUGAGCAGUAUCAUUGUAGCAAUAAUUUUUUUUGUGAAAAUAAGUGCAUAGUAGAAAAAAAUAAAUGUAUGGAUUUCAAAAAAUAUAUCUACUACCAGUAUUCUAGAUCUGCCUUUAGUCUACAUCUGGACCCUCGUGUUAUAGUAACAAAUGCCUAAGUAGAUCAGCCCUCUAAGUCCCUAACCUUUAUCUUUAUCAUCAUUACAAGUUAGCUUCGAUCAUCGAAUUUGAAGUUUGUUUUCAUAUAUAUUGAGUUUCAAUGGUUAUGUCAAUAAAUCAGUCAUCACGAAUUUUGAUCAAGUCAAGACGGGUUAAGUAAAUAUAGGUAAAAUAAUGAGCUACAACUCUACUUUUUCUACUUAACUUUCCGAAUUGGAUGACGAAAAUAAAAGUUCACCAAUUGGACGAGUUUUAUUUUACCAAGCGAAUUUACACUUCAAGAUGUCAAAUGAGUAGCUUGAGUUAGCAGUGAUAACACAUUAAAAAAGGUGAGUCUUUAUAGAGUCAUGACUCGACUCAUUCAAUAUUUCCACGGGUUGAUUUAAUAAACAACGAGUCAUAACCGCUUGCCCAACUUAAGUUUGGGCCGAUUCAGCAAUUUGUAUUUGGAAAACUACCAGCUAUGUCUAUUUAUAAGUAGCUUAUUAUAAAAUUUGGUCAAUUCACAAAAUAUUGCUAAUAUUAGCCAAAUAUUACUAAUAUUAGCUAAUUAUCUAUCUGUAAUAAAAAUAUUAAAUUUUUGCUUUCUCUUGAGUGAGUGCUAUUAGAAUGUAUUGGGUACAUCUUAAGGAGUUUGAAUCUCGAUUUUAGCAUGAUUUGGUAGAGUUUUGAGGUAGUUUGAAUUGAAAAUUCAAAAUUGUAAUGAGCCGGCCGACCGUUUUAAAAGUUGUAUCUCCGUUCCUCCCUUUACUGCUCAUUUUAUACUUUUCAGUUGUUAUGUGACUUGCUGGGGUAGUCGGUUCAGGUCCGGAGGGAUUUCAAAAUAAAUUGAGACACUUAGUCUCAAGGUUGGAAGCUUAAGUUGAAAAAGUUGACCGGAUGUUGACUUAUAUGUAAAAGACUCCUAAAUAGUGUUUUGAUGGUUCCGUCAGCUUCGUCGGGUGAUUUUGGACUUAGCCGCGUGUCCGGAUAGUGGUGUGGAGGUCUGUAGUUGAACUAGGCUUGAAAUGGUGGAAGUUAGAAAUUUGGAAGUUUGACCGUGAGUGUACUUUAUGGUUACCGUGCUCGGAUUGGGGUUCUGGGAGUUGGAGUAGGUCCGUGGUAUUAUUUUUGACUUGUGUGCAAAAUUUGAGGUCAAUCAGACGUGAUUUGAUAGGUUUCGGCAUCGUUUGUAGAAGUUGGAUUUCCUUAGUUUCAUUAGGCUUGAAUUGGGGUGCGAUUCAUAUUUUUGAUGUUGUUUGAUGUGAUUUGAAGGCUCGAUUAAAUUCGUAGCGUGAUUUAGGACUUGUUGGUAUAAUUGAUUGAGGUCCCGGGGCCUCGGGUUGAUUUCGGAUGGUUAAUGGAUCGUAUUUAGAGUUUGAAAGAUUGUUGAAGCUGGGAGUCUUCUGGUACAAUCGCACCUGUUGUAAUGACCCGACCGGUCGUUUUGAGCAUUUGCACUUCGCUCGCUAGUUGUCGGGCAUGACUAGCCUCAUAUGAUGUAUUAUGACUUAUGUAAAUCAUCGGUUUUGAUUUUCAGGAUAAUCGGAAUAGAUUUGGAAGAACAAUUCUCAGCUUGAAGCUUUAAAUUUAAAAGGNNNNNNNNNNNNNNNNNNNNNNNNNCUAUUUUUUUUAUAUAUUUUCAAAUUUUAGUUUUGUUUUAGUCACCACCAAAAAUUCUACCCUCCCCCCUCCCCCCUCCCCCCCCCCAACAAAAAAUGUUUUUGUUAUUUAUAUAUUUUUUGUCACGACCGGGAAUUUCCACCAACGGGACCGUGAUGGCGCUUAACAUCACACUCGCUAGGAAAGCCAAUGUUAGAGAUUUAUUAACCAUUUUCCUUUACCAUUCAUUGAAUAAAAAUAAACAAGUUAAAACAAGUGAUCAUAACUAUGGAAGUAAGUAAAACACUUCUUUAUAUAUAAACUAUUGCCAGAACUAUUACUACUACUACCACCCAGAAACUGGUGUCACAAUCCACGAACAUACUAUGAAUUACUACAAAUAUUGGUCUGAAAGAAAAAUAGAAAUGUAGAAUUUUAGAAGGGGACGUCGGAGCCUGCGGACGCCAACAGGACUACCUUGGGUUUCCAAACUGUGGACCUGCAGCUAAUCUCUCAAUCAGCCACUGCCUGCUCCGAAAUCUGCACAGAAAGUGCAGAGUGCAGUAUUAGUACAAUCGAUCCCAUGUAGUGGUAAGUGCCGAGCCUAACCUCGACAAGGUAGUGACGAGGCUACGGCGGGGCAAUUACAAUAUAUCUUGCAUACAGUAGAUAAAAAAGCGAAAAAGAAGUACGGUACAAAAUGAAACAGUAACUUGCAACAAAAAUGAAUACGGAACUCAAAUAUCUUAUCAGUACCAACUAUAACCAAUCCUUAAGUGAGAUAAAACACUACAGAGUAACUUCACAACCGAAAAAGGAUACAUAAACAAUAAACUGAUGCGGUGCGUAUCCGAUCCCACUAUAUAAUAACAAUUCACCAUUAUUCCUCCUCAAUAUAUCACCCUUAUUCCUCCUAUUGUGGCGUGCAACCUGAUCACACCAUAUUAGUUCCAAUCGAACAAGAAGAACAGAAAUUUCACAAUAUGGCUCAAAACUCCCCACAAUAUUUAACCUCAACUAAAACAAACGAAAAGCGGUAAAAUUAUGAAACUUCACUCGAACUAUACUAUUCAGCGAGACCAAUCCAAAGUAUACUAAUAAACAUUGAUAAAUAGCUUAAACAAAUAAUAUGAAACGAUGAAACCACGUAAUGUCCAAUACUUUUAACAAUGAAAGCAGUAUCCGACAAGUAGCAACUAAUCAUAGAAAUAUCAAAUAGACAGGUAGCAAUUAAGGCAAGAUAAAUUAAGCACGGGAAGGGAACAGUCAAAUAGAUAAAUUAGCAGUGCAUAGGUACUCGUCACCUCACCUAUAAGCCACACACAUGGAAUUUUACAUAGCAAUUAAGUCGGGGAUCCCUAAUCCUUCGAGUCAAAGUUAGAUCAAACACUUACCUCAAUCCAACGGACAACUCAAAUGCGAAAUACCCAGUCCCCUCCCAUGCUCGCAAAUGCGAGUCUCGCAUUUGCGAGCCAGACCUCGUAUUUGCGAGAUCUUCAGACCUGAAGCACACCAGCAAAUUUUCUUAAUUCCAAAUUACUCUUUAGCGUAUCCAAAACUCACUCAAGCCCUCGAGGUUUCAAACCAAACAUGCACAGAAGUCUUAAAACAUCAUACAAACUUGCUCAUACGAUCAAAUCGCCAAAAUAACACCUAGAACUACGAAUUUAGCACCAAAUUGCAUCAAAUUUUUAAGAAAGUUUUAAAAUUUCUAUUUUCUCAAUCGAAUGGCCGAAUCACGUCAAAUUAGUUCUGUUUCUCACCAAAUUUCACAGAUAAGGUAUAAAUAUCAUAACAGAUAUGUACCGGGCUCCAGAACCAAAAUACAGACACGAUACCAACAAGAUUAAACAUUACCAAAAUUCUUUAAACCAUUAUAAUUUCAGUCUUACAAUUUUCAUCAAAAAUUCAUUUCUCGGGCUAAGGACCUCGAAAUUCGAUUUCGGGCAUACGCCCAGGUCCUAUAAUUUGCUACGGACCCACUGGGACCGUCAGAAUACGGGUCCAGGUCUAUUUGCUCAUAACAUUGUCCGAAGUCAACUAAUUAACUUUUUAGGCCAAAAAUUAUUAUUUCAUAAAUUUUCCAUAUAAAAGCUUUCCGGAAUCAUGCCCAUACUGUGCACGUAAAUUGAGGAGAGAUAAAAUAAGGUUUUUAAGGCCUCAAAACACAUAAUCGAGUUCUAAAGCAUAAGAUGACCCUUUGGGGCAUCACAUUCUCCACCUCUAAAACAAUUGUUCGUCCUCGAACGGACAUAGAAAAGUACCUAAGCUGGUGAAAAGGUGGGGAUAUUUGCUCCGCACAUCGGACUCGGACUCCUAGGAGCUAUCUCGACAGGCUGACCUCUCCACUGCACUCAAACCGAAGGAUAACUCUUUGAUCUCAACUGACGAGCCUGCCGGUCUAAAAUGGCUACCGUCUCCUCCUCGUAGGUCAAAUCCCGGUCCAACUAGAUAGUGCUGAAGUCUAACACAUGGGAUUGAUCAUCGUGACACUUCCAAAGCAUGGUCAAAUGAAACACUGGAUGUACCACUGAUAAACCUGGUGGCAACGCAAGUUUAUAGGCCAUCUCUCCCACUUGCUCAAGGAUAUUGAAAGGUCACCUAGGGCUUAACUUGCCCUUCUUCCCAAAUAGCAUCACACCCUUCAUGGGUGAUACCCGAAGCAACACUCUCGCUCCGACCAUGAAUGCCACAUGACGAACCUUACGGUCGGCAUAAAUAUUUUGCCUAGACUGAGCUGUACGAAGUCUAUCCUGAAUGAUCUUGACCUUAUCCAGGGCAUCCUGUACCAAAUCUGUACCCAAUAACCGAGCCUCCCCGGCUCAAACCACCCAACCGGCAAUCGACAAUGUCUACCAUAUAAUGCCUCAUAGGGAACCAUCUGGAUGCUCGACUGAUAACUGUUGUUGUAGGCAAACUCCGCUAACGGCAAGAACUAAUCCCAAGAAAUCCUCCAUGAUCUGAAUAGUACGCUCGGACUGUCCAUCCGUCUCAGGGUGAACUGUUGUGCUCAACUCAACCAACGUACCCAACUCAUGUUGUACCACCCUUUAUAAGUGCGAGGUAAACUGUGUACCACGAUCAGAAAUGAUAGACAUGAGCACCCCAUAAAGACGAACGAUCUCACAGAUAUAAAUCUCUACCAAUCGCUCCGAAGAAUAGGAAACUGCCACAGGAAUGAAAUGUGCUGACUUGGUCAGUUUAUCCACAAUAACCCAAAGUGCAUCAAACUUCCUCUGAGUCCGUAGGAGUCCAACAACAAAAUCCAUGGUGAUACGCUCCCACUUCCACUCAGGAAUAUCUAUCUUCUGAAGCAAACCACCAGGUCUCUGAUGCUCGUACUUUACUUACUGAUAAUUUAAACACCAAGCUACAUGUGCAACUAUAUCCUUUUUCAUCCUCAUCUACCAACAAUGUUUUUGCAAGUCCUGAUACAUCUUAGCGACGCCCGGAUGAAUAGAAUACCGGGAACUGUGGGCCUCCUCUAGAAUCAACUCAUGGAGUCCAUCCACAUUAGGCACACAAACACGACCCUACAUCCUCAAAACUCCAUUGACUCCAACUGUAACCUGCUUGGAAUCACCGUGCCGCACUGUGUCCCUAAGGACAAGCAAAUGAGGGUCAUCACACUGCCAAUCCAUGAUGCGCUCAAAUAAAAAAGACCGAGCAACUUUGUAAGCUAAAACACGACUGGGCUCAGAAACAUCCAACCUCACGAACUGAUUGGCCAAUGCCUGAACAUCUAAUGCAAACGGUCUCUCACCGACUAGAAUGUACGCAAGGCUGCCCAUACUAGCUGACUUUCUACUCAAAGCAUCGGCCACCACAUUGGCCUUCCCGGGAUGAUACAAGAUAGGGAUAUCAUAGUCUUUCAAUAACUCCAACCACCUUCUCUGCCUCAAAAUGAAUUCUUUUGUUUGAACAAAUACUGCAAACUCUUAUGAUCCGUGAACACCUCACACGACAUGCCAUAGAGAUAGUGCCUCCAAAUCUUCAGCACGUGAACAAUGGCUGUCAGCUCCAAGUCAUGAACUAGAUAGUUCUUCUCGUGAAUAUUUAGCUUCCGCAAAGCAUAUGCAAUAACCUUGCUACCCUACAUCAAUAUCGCACCAAGUCCAAUACGUGAUGCGUCAAAAUAUACUGUAUAGGGCCCUAAACCCAUGGGCAACACCAACACUGGCGUUGUAGUCAAAGCUGUCUUGAGCUUCUGAAAGAUCGCUUCACACCCGUCUGACCAUCUGAACGGGGCACCCUAAGGCGAGACACUUGGUCUAAUAAUGGAGCACCCGUCUGACCUUGGCCUUUGUCUCUCAGAGUUUGAAGAAUGAUUCGAAGAUGCUGCUCAUGCUCCUCUCGGCUGCGGGAGUAGAUCAAGAUAUCAUCAAUAAAAAUAAUCACAAAGGAAUCCAAGUAAGGCUUGAACACCUGGUUCAUCAAAUCUAUAAAUGUUGUUGGGGUAUUUCCCAAGCAAAAUGACUUCACUAGAAACUCAUAAUACCCAUAUCGAGUCCGAAAAGUUGUCUUAGGGACAUCGGAUGCCCUAAUCCUCAACUGAUGGUAGCCAGACCUCAAAUCGAUAUUUGAAAACACCUUGGCAUCCUAAAGCUAAUCAAAUAAGUCAUCAAUCCUCGACAAUGGAUACUUGUUCUUGAUGGUGACUUUGUUCAACUACCGAUAGUCUAUACAUAUCCUCAUCGACCCAUCCUUCUUGUUUACAAACAAUACCGGCGCAGCCUAAGGCAAGACACUUGGUCUAAUAAAGCUCUUAUCAAGCAAAUCUUGAAACUGCUCCUUCAAUAUUUUCAACUCUAGCGGGGCCAUGCGGUAUGGCGAAAUAAAAAUAGGUUGAGUGCCCGGAACCAAAUCAAUACAGAAGUCAAUAUUCUGUCAGGUUGUAACCCUGGCAGGUCUGCAAGAAAUAGCUUAGGAAAUUCUCGGACAAUUGGUACAAAAUCCAUGUAAGGAACCUCCAUACUAGAAUCACGAACAUAAGCCAAAUAACCCAAACACCCCUUCUCGACCAUAGCCUUCAUAUAAGAGGUAACCCUACUGGUAGAAUGACUAGGAGUCCCUCUCCACUUUAAUCGAGGCAACCCUGGCAAGGCUAAAGUCACUAUCUUGGCAUGAUAGUCCAAUAUGGCAUGAUAAGGUGACAACCAAUCCAUCCCCAAAAUAACAUCGAAAUCAACCAUAUCGAGAAGUGGGAUAUCUACACUAGUCUUGAGACCGCCAAUAAUAACCACACACGAAUGAUAGACACGAUCUACAAUAAUAGAAUCCCUCACCGAUGUAGACACAUACACAAGAGCACUCAAAGAAUCACGAGGCAUAACCAAAUAUGAAGCAAAAUAAGAUGACACAUAGGAAUAUGUACACCCUGGAUCAAAUAGAAUUGAAGCAUCUCUACUGCAAACUGAAACAUUACCUGUGAUAACAGCGUCGGAUGACUCAGCCUCAGGCCUGGCUAGGAAAGCGUAACAUCGAGGCUGGGCCCCACCAUUUUGAACCAUAUCCCUGGGACGGCCUCCUGCUCGCUGGCCUCCACCUCUAGCAACCUAAUCUCUACCUCUAGCGGCCUGACCUCUACUUCUGGCUCCCUGGCCCCUACCUCUAGCUAGAUAAGCGGGCAGUGCCGGAAUCAUGGCACGAGAACCCUGCUGCUGUGGCUGAACACCUACUAAUCUUGGACAGGUCCUCCGGAUAUACCCAUACUCACCAUACUCGAAGCAUCCAUCUUGAUAUUGUGGCUGUGGAAACUGAGACUGACCCUGAUGGGCCGACUGACCGCGAUAAUAACUCUAAAAGGAGAUGCUCUAAUAGGAGCUGGUGUUUCACUAUAAGUUGGCUGCCUUGAAGGAGGUACAUAAGGACUACGAUUCCUUGAAGCUCCAUGGGAUGUCUGAAGUACUGAAUGAAACGGCCUAGGAGGAUGGCCCCUACCAAAAGCACCUCGACCACCAGAUGAGGCCCCACUAAAUCCACCGGAGUGAUGCGGCCUCUUAUCAGACCCCUGACCACUCCCUUGAGCUAGGACCAUCUCAACUCGUCUGGCCACAUUGGUUGCAUGGAAAGAAAUCUCACUCCAUAUCUCCUUAGCCAUCUGCAAUUUGAUAGUUUGAGCAAGUCCCUCAAUAAACCUCCUCACCCUCUAUCUCUCUCUAUCUCUCUCUCUCUCUCUGUAGGAAGUAUAAGAAGAGCAUGACGGGCCAAAUCAACAAAUCUAGUCUCGUACUGAGUGACAGUCAUAGAACCUUGUUGAAGGCGCUCGAACUACAUCCGGUAGUCCUCUAUUUGAAUGAUAGGAAGAUACUUCUCCAGAAAUAGCUGAGAGAACUUAUCCCAAGUAAAAGAUGGAGACCCAGCUGAUCUGGCCAAACAAAAAUCCCUCCACCAUUUCUUGGCGAAACCUGAUAGACGAAAGGCAGCAAAGUCGACCUCAUUGGUCUCCACUAUCCCCAUGUUCCGUAAUACCCGUGGCAACUAUCCAGAUAGUCCUAGGAAUCCUCUAAAGGUGUACCGCUAUACUGAGUGGUGAAAAGCUUGGUAAACCUAUCCAAUCUCCACAAAGCCUUAGAAGACAUAGCUGAUCCAUCAUCGGUCUAUGCUGCAACUCCUGGCAGAACUACCCCAACCGGCUGAGUUGCUGGGGUCUGAAACUGGGGAGCAAUAUGCUCCGGAGUGUGAGUAGCGGGAGUCUGGGCUCCUCCCUCUGCCUGAGAGAUGGCUGGUACUAUAGGAAAUGUGCCAGCCUGAGCAACACUCUCCAUAAAGCCCACUAGACGGACCAAAGCAUCUUGAAGUAUUGUGGUAGUGAUGAACCCCUCUGGAACCUGAGAUGGCCCAGCUGGAACGGUCUAGGCUGGAGCCUCCUCAUCAAACUCUACCUGAGGCUUCGCUGUUGGUGCUGGUGCUCAAGCUCUGGACUGAGCCCUGCCCCUGCCUCGUCAUCUGCCCCUCGUAGGAGCUGCCACUGGGGGCUCUAGCUGCUGCUCAGCUGAAGAAGCGGUACGUGUUCUCGCCAUCUGCAAAGGAGCAAGAGUAGAGAGGUCAAUUACCAUUGAGAGACCAAAUCGCACGACGGAGAUGAAUAGAAGUGAAAUUGUUCCUAAAUUUGUAGCCUCUGGGAGAUAAGCACAGACAUCUUCGUACCGAUCCCUCAGACUCUACUAAGCUUGUCCAUAAAUUGUGAGACCUAGGCAACCUAGUGGUCUGAUACCAAUGUUAGAGAUUUAUUAACCAUUUUCCUUUACAAUUUAUUGAAUAAAAAUAAACAAGUUAAAACAAGUGAUCAUAACUGCGGAAGUAAGUAAACACUGCUUUAUAUAUAAACUAUUGCCAAAACUAUUACUACUACUACUACUACCCAAAAACUUGUGUCACAAUCCACGAACAUACUAUGAAUUACUACAAAUAUUGGUCUGAAAGAAAUUACAUCUUUUUGAAAAGAAAGAAAAACAGAAAUGCAUAAAUGUAAAAGGGGAUGCCAGGGCAUGCGGACGCCAAUAGGACUACCUUGUGUCUCCAAACUGUGGACCUGCAGCCAAUCACUCAAUCAGCCACUGCCUACUCCGAAAUCUACACAGAAAGUGCAAAGUGCAGUAUCAGUACAACCGACCCCAUGUAUUGGUAAGUGUCGAGCCUAACAUCGAUGAGGUAGUGACGAGGCUACGGCGAAGCAAUUACAAUAUAUCCUGCAUACAUUAUAUAAUGAAGCAAAAAAUAAGUACGGUACAAAAUGAAACAGUAACUUGCAACAAAAAUGAAUACGGAACUCAAAUAUCUUAUCAGUACCAGUUAUAACCAAUCCUUAAGUGAGACACAACAUUAUAAAGUAACUUCACAGCAGAAGAAGGAUACAUAAACAAUAAACCGAUGCGGCGCGCAUCCCGAUCCCUCUAUAUAAUCAGUAACAGUAUGAACAUUCACCCUUAUUACUCCUUAUCAAUCCACUCUUAUUCCUUCUGUUGCAGCGUGUAACUCGAUCCCACCAUACAAUAGUAAUUCACCCUUGUUACUCCUCAAUAUAUCACCCUUAUUCCUCUUGUUACGGUGCGCAACCCGAUCCCACCAUAUCAGUGCCAAUCAUACAAUAAGAACAGAAAUUUCACAAUAUGGCUCAAAACUCCCCAUAAUAUUUAACCUCAACUAAAACAAACGGGAAGCUGUAAAAUUAUGAAACUUCACUCGAACUAUACUACUCAGCGAGAUUAAUCCAAAGAAUACUAAUAAACACUGAUAAAUAGCUUAAACCAAUAAUAUGAAAUGAUGAAACCACGUAAUGUCCAAAACUUUUAACAAUGAAAGUUAUAUCCGACAAGUAGCAACUAAUCAUGGAAAUAUCAAAUAGACAGGUAGCAAUUAAGGCAUGGAACAAUAAAUUAAGCAUGGGAAGGGAACAAUCAAACAGAUAAAUUGGCGGCGCAUAGGUACUCGUCACCUCACCUAUGCGUCACACACAUGGAAUUUCACAUAGAAAUUAAGUCGGGGAUCCCUAAUCUCUCGAGUCAAAGUUAGACCAAACAAUUACCUUAAUCCAACAACCAACUCAAAGCUCAAUUACGGCUUUUCCUUUAGUUUCCACCUCCGAACCACUCGUAUCUAGUUAUAAUUAACUUAAUAACAUCAUUUAUCGCUAAGAAAAUCAAUUCCAAUACAUAAUUAUAGGUUUUCCAAUAUGUUCCCCCAAAAAAUUAAAAACUGACCCCGGGCUCGCUUGGUCAAAACUCGAGGUUCGGACCAAAACUCAUUCACUCAUUCACCCCUGAGCCCGAAUAUGUAAUUAGUUUCGAAAUCCGACCUCAAAUCGAGGUCUAAAUUUCAAUUAUACAAAAAUCACUAAUUCUACCUAAGCCCCCAAUUUUCACCGUGAAAUCGUUAAAUUUUUUGUUGAAUUCUUGUAGAAUGAAGUGAAAGAUUAAAAGAAACAAGUUAGGAAUCAUUUACCUAUGAUUUGGGGAAGAAUUGAUCUUUGAAAAAUCGCCUAGAGGGUUUCUUGUAUUUGGAAGCUUUUAAAAAUGAGAAAAAUCCCGUCUAAGCCAAGACUUAUCAGCUGCAGAUGUCGUAUUUGCCACCUGAGCUUUGCAUUUGCGAAGCUCGUAAAUGCUAGAAAAGUAUCGCAAAUGCGAACUCCCUCGCAUUCCUGUAGCUAUCGUAAAUGCGUAGUUUCAUUCGCAAAUGCGGACCUUUUCUUCGCAAAUGCAAACUACCCAGUCCCCUACCAUGCUUGCAAAUGCGAACAUUCUUCGCAAAUGCGAGGCUCGUAUUUGCGAGAUCGGCAGACCUGAAGCAUACCAGCAAAUUUUCUUAAGUCCAAAUCACUUUGUAGCCUAUCCGAAAUUCACUCGAGCCCUCGGAGCUCCAAACCAAAUAUGCACACAAGUCUUAAAACAUUAUACAAACUUGUUCAUGCGAUCAAAUCGCCAAAAUAACACCUAGAACUACGAAUUUAGUACCAAAUUGCAUGAAAUUUUCAAGAAAGUUUUAAAACUUCUAUUUUCUCAACCGAAGGUCCGAAUCACGUCAAAUCAGUUCCGUUUCUCACCAAAUUUUAUAGAUAAGGUAUAAAUAUCACAACGAACCUGUACCGGGCUUCGGAACCAAAAUACAGACCUGAUACCAACAAGAUCAAACAUUACCAAAAUUCUUUAAACCAUUAUAAUUUCAGUCUUAUAAUUUUCAUCAAAGAUUUAUUUCUUGGGCUAUGGACCUCGGAAUUUGAUUCUGGGCAUACGCCCAAGUCUCAUAUUUUACUACAGACCCAUCGGGACCAUCAGAACACGGGUCUGGAUCCGUUUACUCAAAACAUUGACCGAAGUCAACUAAAAUCAACUUUUUACGUCAAAAAUUAUUAUUUUAUAAAUUUUCCACAUAAAUGCUUUCCAGAAUUACGCCCGGACUGCGUACGCAAAUCGAGAAGAGAUAAAACGAGGUUUUAAGGCCUCGAAAUGCGAAAUUGAGUUCUAAAACAUAAGAUGACCCUUUGGAUCAUCACAUUCUCAGUUUUAGUUUUUUUAUCUUUGGGUUUUAAGGGUUCAGAAGGUUGUUGGUUCGAAAGCUUAUGGCUUCAUAUUUAUUGUAUCUAAAUUAUUUAUAAAUUCUCCUGAGAAGUUAUUUUUCUUAAUUUGUGUACCAAACACCGAAAAUGAAUAAGAUUACUACUUGUUUUCCAAGAAAAUAUUUUCUUGGAAAACAUUUUCCGUGGAAAAUAUUUUCCGUUAUACCAAACACCCCCUUUGUCACAAUUGAGAUUGGGAUUCAAAGUAGUAAAAGCCUCGGGGGUCACACUAAAAUUUUGCAUAAUGCUGAAGCAUGUGUCUCCAAUAUUUGCACCAUAAAUCUUACUGCAUAUUAUAAUUAUUGAAAAAUAAAAGAUAAAUUACACGGCUAGUAUUUGGUCGAUGAGUGAAAAUGUACUAUUAUAUUAAAGUUUAGUAGUAAUAUUAUCAAAUCAAAUAGUUUUUUAUGAAAUUUUUGAGUAUUAAAGAUGGAUGAUAAUAUCUUGGUUUUAUUUUGAGCAAGUGGCAUUAAAAACUAAGAUAGUUUGAACUUCGAAGGAAAAUGUGAGGAAAGUCAUUUUACGUAUGAACAUAUUUUCUAGUAAUCAAACACUAAAAAUGACUUCCAUUGUACCAAAAAUAUUCUUAACUAUUUUCUUAGAAACUUACUUCGAUCCCAUACCAAAAACACCUGUAAGUAAUUUAUUUUAUUUUUUAAAGAAAAUGACUUCCCUUAGUAAAAAAAAACACCCUUAAGUUACAUGGAAGGAAGUUGUUUCGAAAGAUCUAUAAAUCAUUGUAAGCACCGUAGAUUUAGCUAAAAAUAAAGUACAAUGGAAGAGAAAAAUCUAUAUCGGUGAUGCCUACUAAUUGAGAAUAGGUUUUAGACUUGGUAGAGAACUCCUAUUAUUAUUAUUAUUAUUAUUAUUAUUAUUAUUAUUAUUAUUAUUAUUAUUAUUAUUAUUAUUAUUAUUAUUAUUAUUAUUUUACUACUAAUAAUAAUUUUUACUUGCACUUAUAAUUUAUUUUAGUACUAAUGAUGAUAUAAGUUAAGCUGAAUGAAAAGAAUAAAGAUUUUAUAUCGCCGACCUCAAAUUGCUUGGAAAUGACGCGUAGUUGUUGUUAUUAUUAUAAAUCAUACAUAGACUAUUUUGCGAAUUAUAUUAUUGAAGUAUAGAUUAUUGACAUUUAUGUCUGUUGAUUGUUUAUAAUCUGAUUGAAGGAAGAAAAUCAUAUGUUUUUUCAAUGAUACAUAUGAUAUUUAAUAACUUACAUUCUUCACUUUAAUAAGACAAAACAAUUUUUUCUAUGAUACCUUGUGAAUUACUAACUUGCCUUCUUGACUUUAAGUGUCAAAAGAAAGUAAUGUACAAUUUUACCACAAGGUGUUGUGUUCAAUUUUAUAUCGAAAAAUGGUUUCAUGCAUUCACACAUAUCCCAUGUAUCAUUACUUCAUUUUGAUUGCUGAUUGCACAACCUUUAUUAAUUCUUAGUUUUUAUCGUUGUCUAAAUUAACUUUGCGAAGGGAGCGGUGAAACUACGAAACGUUUAGGAAUCGGAAACAAAUUACCAAAUCAAAUAAAAAAAAUCAAUUUGAUUUGGUAUUUUGUUUCCAAAUGGUUCUAACUCAGUCCAUCAAGUUAAUUUAAUUAAGAAUGACAUGCUAGUAGUAAUAGCUGGGUAAUAUACCAAAAUGCUGCUCAAUAGAGGGAAUACGUAGAUUAUAGAUAGAAUUUGAUCGUCUUGUGCAAGUUAUAUAUAAAGAUCAAUUAUGAAGUACGCUAAAAAAUCAGCUUAGAACAUGAAUUAAUUAUAUAAAUUUUUGAAGAAAGAAGCUGGAAUAUGAAAAAAAAAACCGAAACAAUACAAAAAAGCUAGAUUAAAUUGCUUUUUUAAUCAUACAUUAGCUUUACUCUUUAUUCGCAAAUCAGACAGUGCUGAUUUAAUUGUGAGUAUUUAUUUCUUGAGCUUAAUAAUCCCUUGCUUUAUACUUUAGAUGGAGGAACCAUCAAGGCAUAUCUAUUCACCAAUGAACAUUUUGUCACAAUUGAGGUUAGGGUUGAAAGCAGUAAAAACCUCGGGGGUCACACUGAAAUUUCCCAUAAUGUCGAAGCACACUGAAAAUUCCCAUAAUGUCGAAGCAUGUGUCUCCAAUAUUUGCACCAUAAAUCUUACUGCACACUAGAAUAGAAUUUGUUCCAGUUUCAGCUGCACCCAUCAAGAAAAUAAUAUAUUAUUUAAUAAAAUUUACUUUUUAUAAUUAGGGACAUGGGUCUUUUUGGGCAUAAUUAAUACUAGCAAGGUAAUAUAUUUAGGUUUGAUACUUACCUAAAAGUAUUCUAAUUUCUGCCACGUAAACGGAGAGAAGGAACAGCAAGAACAAAGCUGAAAAUAACGGCUGAUACUUUGUAGUUGGCUCUUGCCAUUUCUAUUGUUUAAUUGCACAAAAACUGAUUUUCUAUUCGUCCCUUUUCCUUUAAUCGUUGGAUUGGUGGAUGAAUUUGUUAAUGAUGCGUCUGCAUUUAUAGUGGAAUUACUUUAGAUAUUUAUCAAAAUGAGACGAAAUGUGGACGUUGUAAUUUCAUUCAAUUGACCACACGGUUGCCGACAACGUUGUACACAUUACAUUAUCUACAACUUGUUAUAAAAUAUAUAUUUAUAUGGAUGUCCACUAAUCAAAUAUAACUCUCACUACUCUUCUCCAUUAUGUAGAGAACCUCCAUUAUUUCUCACCAUUAUAGUUGUAACUCUCACACUUUCAUAAUCUUCCCAUGAUCUCAAAUGUUUAAUGCAAUAUUUAUGACAUUCUUUUGUAUACUUGUUAGAAUAUUAGAUAAAGGCUGAACUAUUUGGGCUAUUCUUAUAACUUAGCUCCAUGUUUAUAUUGAGUCCAUUGUUUUGUAUUAGUUAGGCCACCGGGUCAGGCCCAUUAUUCAUAAGAGGAGUCCCUCAUUUUUGUAACCAGAUUGACAUUUCUCAAUGUAGAAAAGAUCUGCUUUCUCCCGAACCUUUUCUCAACCUAUGAACCCUACUUUACAUUUUGUCAAUCUCUCUAUAAAUUUUGAUAAUUUACAUGGUAUUAGAGCAUAGAUUCUGGUAGAUCGUAUCAUUAGCUUCUGAUCGAUGUUAACCUCUUCAGUUUUCAUCGAGUUUUUUUUCGUUUGGACUGCAUUCGCACUAGAUUAUGGUUUUGUUUGGUUUUUGUUAGAUGAUUUCUUCUCAUUAUCGUCCGUCUCUGCUGGAUUUUACUAUUUCUCUGGAUAUUUGACUGUACUUGGCUGAUUUGCUCAUCUGAUUCGAGCUAGGGUUUUCUCGUCGGUGUUUAGCUGAGCCGCCGAAAGUUCGAUAACAAGGAUGUUCUCUUUUCGGUUGCAAAAUAGGGGGUACACCAGUUCUCUCUUCAUAUUUCAUAAAUUUGUUUGUUGAAUUGCUGACUGUUUCUUAUUGAUAUACUUCCUCUCAAUGACGAAUGAUAAUCCUGCAAUUACACAUUCUUCUUCCUCUACUGCAUCUCGUACUAUAUUUCACGAAGAUGAUUUUAUACAUCCAUGUCAUCCAUUAUAUGUACAUCCAUCAGAUGUGCUGGGAACCUCUUUGGUAUCUAGUCCAUUUGAUAGAAGCUGCUAUGGCAGCUGAAGGGAGAAACAUCUUGGUUGCUCUCUCCAUUCAUAAUAAACUUGAUUUUAUCAAUGGCACCUCUACAAAGCCACUUCCAGGAUUUCCUCUGUCAAGUCAAUGGCAACGGUGUAAUGAUCUUGUAGUGUCAUGGUGGGUUAAUUCCUUGUCAAAAGAAAUAUCUCAUAGCGUAGAAUACUCUGAAUAUGCUAAAGAUAUUUGGUGUGAAUUGGAGGAGAGAUACAGUAAGGCUGAUGGGGCCAGAGUUUUUGAGCUAAAGAAAGAAUUAGCACAUAUCUCUCAAGGGUCUUUAGACAUAGCUUCUUACUUUAAUAAAAUCAAAUAACUCUGAGAUGAAAUAGCUUCUUAUAAGGUUAGAGUUUGUAAUUGUGAGGGUAAGGCUGUUGAAGAUGAAGAGCAGAAGGUUUAUCAGUUCCUUAUGGGUAUGAAUGAUACCUACAUGCAAACUCGCAACAACAUUUUAAUGAAGAAACCACUUUCCUCUGUUGGAAAUGUGUACAACAUCUUAUUAUAUGAUGAGAAGCAUAGGCAGGUGUCUUCUGCCUCCCAAUUUUCCACAGUCUGCUUCAUUCAAUGUUGGGACUUCUAAGCCAUCAUUUCCUUCCAAGGUUUCUUUUGAGGCUCCCAAGUCUUCUCUCAUCUGCAAAUAUUGCAAGAAACCUAGGCAUUCUAUAGACAAAUUCUAUAAAUUACAUGGAUAUCCUCCCAAUUUCAAGUUCAACAAAGGACCUCCCCCUCACAGAACUACUGCACAUGUUGAGCUUGAAUCUUAUGGUGGCUCUUCUGUGCCUUGUGGUUCUGAUGGUCCUAUUGAGAAUAAGUAGUCCUUUGUGAUACCUGGUCUUACCAAGGAUCAAUACUCUCAAGUGAUGAUCUAAUUACAAUAAUCCCAAAUCUCUCCUUCCCCACAUUUUCCACCUCUCUUGGCUUUUGCUAACUUUGCUGGUAAGCUUAUGCCUUAUGAGUGUGUUUCUUAUGGAGCUUGUAUGUUGUCUAGUAUGAAUGGAAUUGUUUGGAUAAUAGAUUUUGGAGCUACUGAUCAAAUGACUUCCAUCAGGAGUUUACUUUUUGAUAUAAUCACUCUUCUUAUUCCUUAUCUUGUGUCUCUUCCAAAUGGGUAUAAAGUAAAGGUUACCAAUGUUGGUUCUUUAGCUUUAUUUUCUGAUUUAAUUCUUCAUAAUGUUCCUUACAUCCCUAGUUUUAAACAUAAUCUCAUAUAUGUUCACAAGCUUUUGUCUUAUUGUGAUGAUGUUGUACAGUUUACCAAGUCUGCUUGCACUUUCCAGGGCCCUUCAGUGAGGAAGCCAGUGGUGCUUGAUAGACUGGACAAUGGACUUUACAAGUUGUUCCAACAUGUCACUUCUCUUGUUGAAUCUGUUAAUGUCAAUUCUUAUUCUUCUAUUGCUUGUUCUCUACAUGUAGUGUCUAAUAAUGUUGCUAUUGACAAUUCAUCUGUAAAUAGCAUGGUUGAUUCAAAUAAAAUGAAUAAAUCUGAUGUUGUUUGGCAUUAUAGAAUUGGACAUAUUCCCUUUCAAAAUAAAACUUAUUUCUGGUCUUGAUUGUAGACUAUCAUCCAAACAGUCUUUCAUAUGUCCCAUUUGCCCCUUAGCAAGACAAACUGGGCUCCCUUUUCCUGAUAGUCUAUUCAGUUCACUCACCCUUUUCAGUUUGUACAUAUAGAUACUUGGGGUCCCUACUCUACUCCCACUCAUUCUGGUUCUAAAUACAUUCUUACUACAAUAGAUGACUAUACUAGGGCUACCUGGACACAUUUGAUGGGAGCAAAGAGCAAUGCUUUUGAUUUGUUAAAACCUUUCAUCUUUAUGGUUGAAACACAGUUUCAAACUAAAGUACAGACUGUGAGAAGUGAUAAUGCUUUAGAGUUAGGCUCCAAUUCCUCUGGUUCUCUUUUCUUCUCUGAAAAAGGGGAUCAUUCAUCAAACUUCUUGUCCUCAUAUCCCUCGACAAAAUGAUGUAGUUGAAAGGAAACAUAGACAUUUGUUAGAGACUGCCAGGGCUCUUUUAUUUCAAUCCCACCUUCCUAUUAAAUUUUUGGGUGAUUGUCUUCUUACUGCUACUUACCUGACAAAUAGAUUUCCUUCACCACUUCUCAAACACAAGAGUCCCUAUGAGUUACUAAAUUCUCGUCUCAGAUCCUUUGGCUGCCUUUGCUACUCAAUUGUGCCCAAACCUCAUAGAGACAAGUUUCAUCCUAGGUCUAUCUCAUGUGUGUUUAUUGGCUAUCCUUUUGCCAAAAAGGUUAUAAACUUUACAAUUUGUCCACUAAAUCAUUUUUGUCUCCAGAGAUGUGACUUUUCAUAAGCACGUCUUUCCUUUCUCAAAAUCUUUUGUUCCCUCAUCUCUUGGCAUACCUUCUUCCUUUGUUCCUAGUCACUUUUCUGAUGAUUCGCAUUCUCCCCUAUCUCCUCAUGUUCCUGUUUCUUCUCCCCAGUCCUCUCUCGUCUCUACUCCUCCUUCUCCUUCCUCAGGUUCCCCUGAUUUCAUUUUCUCUCCUUUCUCUAGCUCCUCUUCCCAUUCUGUUCUUCCUUCAUCUCCUCCUCAAAUUACAAGAUCUAGUAGGGCUCAUACUAUUCCUGCUUAUUUUUAGGAUUAUGUAUGUCCUACCCUUCCUCCUUCUGCGUCUCUCCUUGCUCCUUCUAGUUCUGAGUCUCUUUCCUUCAAUGCCACUACUAUACAGCUCCACAACCCUGAACCUUACACUUACUCUCAGGCUGCUGCUAUCCCUGAGUGGUAGGAUGUUAUGAGAAAGGAGUUUGACGCUUUGGAGGCUAAUAGAACUUGGGAUAUUAUUGAGUUACCCCCGAUAAAAAGCCUAUAGGCUGCAAAUGGGUAUACAAAGUAAAAUAUAGAGCUGAUGGGAGUCUGGAAAUGUAUAAGGCCAGGUUGGUAGUUAGGGGUGAUACCCAGGUUGAGGGGGUUGAUUUUCAUGAAAUAUUUUCUCCUUUGUUAAAAUGUCCACUGUGAAAUCUUUAAUUAUUGUUGCUGUCAAGCAACAUUGGCCUCUAUUUCAACUUAAUGUUAAUAAUGCAUUCUUACAUAGGGAUCUUGAUGAGGAGGUUUUUAUGAAGGUACCUCCUGGAUUAUCUAUUCCUCCUUCUUGUUCUUCUCCUUUUCCUUUGGUUUGCAAGCUACUUAAGUCCCUCUAUGAUUUGAAACAGGCUUCCAGACAAUGGUAUGCUAAAUUAUCUCAGGCCUUUUGUUCUAGGGGAUAUUCUCAUUCUUUAAAUGAUCACUCCCUAUUUACUAGGGGUUCUAGGACUUCAUUGGUCAUUUUACCUGUGUAUGUGGAUGAUAUCAUCCUUAUUGGGACUGAUUUGUCUGAGAUUUCUUUCGUAAAAGGCUUUAUGUAUGAAUAGUUUAGAAUUAAGGACCUUGGUUCUCUUAAGAGGUUCUCUAUUCUGAUUCUGGGGUUCUUCUUCAUCAAAAGAAGUUUGUUCAUGACUUAUAGGAUUUUUUGCUUCUUCUGCAGUCGUUUGUCUUCUUGCUCUUAAUGAGAAACUGAAGGUUUCUGUUGGUGAGCCUUUGCCCAAGCCUGAAGAGUAUAGGUGCUUGGUAGGUAAGUUGAAACUCUUGACCCAUACAAGGCCUGAUAUUAGCUUUGUCGUUCAGCAUCUCAACCAGUUCUUGCAGACUCCUUGUGUUCCCCAUAUAUAUGCUGCUUUACACUUGUUGAGUUAUUUGAAGGACAUUUUUGAUUUUGGACUUUUCUUCAGUAAUUCACCUGAUCUUUCCUUGAUGGUAUACUUUGAUAGUGAUUGGGCUUCUUGUGCUGAUAGUAAAAGAUCUGUGACUGGUUUCUGUGUUUUCCUUGGUGAUUGUUUGGUGAGCUGGAAAUCCAAGAAGCAGUCUAUGGUCUCUCUUUCCUCUGUUGAAGCUGAGUAUAGGUCCAUGAGUAAAGCUGCAGCUGAGGUCACUUGGCUUUCCAUGUUAUUAUCAGAUUUUGGUCUUCCUUCUUCUUCUCCCAUCCCUUUGUAUUGUGAUAAUCAGGCAGCUUUGCACAUUGCCCGCAACCUAGUAUUUCAUGAGCAGAGUAACCAUAUAGGCUGGACUUUCAUUUCUUCAGAGAAAAAAUUGGUGAUGAGUUGAUCAGCUGAUCAACUAGGGUCAUGUCUCCAGUAAUGCUCAAGCUGCUGAUAUUCUUACCAAGGCCCUUCCUAGGCCUGCUCAUCAUUUUCAUCUUCGCAAGUUGGGGUUUUAUUACCCUCCAACUUAAAGGGGGCUGUUAGAAUAUUAGAUAAAGGCUAAACUAUUUGGGCCAUUCUUCUAACUUAGGUCCAUGUCUAUAUUGAGUCUAUUGUUUUGUAUUAGUUGGGCCACCGGGUCAUGCCCAUUAUUUAUAAGAGGAGUCCCUCAUUUUUGGAACCAGAUUGACAUUUCUCAACGUAGAAAAUAUCAACUUUCUCUCGAACCUUCUCUCAAUCUAUGAACCCUAGUUUACUUUUGGUCAAUCUCUCUGUAAAUCUCGAUACUUAAUAUACUUCUAUGUAAUACUAUAAAUAAAGAAUGAGAAAUGAUAUUGUACACACUUGAAAAGAAUUGGAAAACACUUGAUGAAAUAAGAAACUUCUCUCUUUCCUCUCUUUAUCUCUUGUUUAUUUUCUUGGUUAUAUUGUUACUUUGAGCUCAGUUUCUUAACACAACCAUGUGCUCUUGUCCAUUUUCUUUUAUUGGUUGUUCUUUUUCAUUUUUACAUAGAUAAUAAUAUCGAGAUCUUAGUCCAAUAACUGGUCAAUAUAAUCGUUUAAAUUCGAUAAGAAUAAUUUUCAUGAUACACGAAAUAAAAUAUUGCACUUUGUGUGUCGUAUAUGCUUUUUAGUGUCUAAAAAAACGAAUAAAAAAUUAAAUGAGUAGAUGAGCAGUAUCAUUGUAGCAAUAAUUUUUUUGUGUGAAAAUAAGUGCAUACUAGAAAAAAAUAAAUGUAUGGAUUUCAAAAAAUAUAUCUAAUACCAGUAUUCUAGAUCUGCCUUUAGUCUACAUCUGGACCCACGUGUUAUAGUAAUAAGUGCCUAAGUAGAUCAGCCCUCUAAGUCCCUAACCUUUAUCUAUAUCAUCAUUACAAGUUAGCUUCGAUCAUCGAAUUUGAAGUUUGUUUUCAUAUAUAUUGAGUUUCAAUGGUUAUGUCAAUAAAUCAGUCAUCACGAAUUUUGAUCAAGUCAAGACGGGUUAAGUAAACAUAGGUAAAAUAAUGAGCUAUAACUCUACUUUUUCUACUUAACUUUCCGAAUUGGAUGACGAAAACAAAAGUUCACCAAUUGGACGAGUUUUAUUUUACCAAGCGAAUUUACACUUCAAGAUGUCAAAUGAGUAGCUUGAGUUAGCAAUGAUAACACAUUAAAAAAGGUGAGUCUUUAUAGAGUCAUGACUCAACUCGUUCAAUAUUUCCGCGGGUUGAUUUAAUAAACAACGAGUCAUAACCGCUUGCCCAACUCAAGUUUGGGCCGAUUCAGCAAUUUGUAUUUGAAAAACUACCAGCUAUGUCCAUUUAUAAGUAGCUUAUUAUAAAAUUUGGUCAAUUCAAAAAAUAUUGCUAAUAUUAGCUAAAUAUUACUAAUAUUAGCCAAUUAGCUAUCUGUAAUAAAAAUAUUAAAUUUUUGCUUUCUCUUGAGUGAGUGCUAUUAGAAUGUAUUGGGUACAUCUUAAGGAGUUUGAAUCUCGAUUUUGGCAUGAUUUGGUAGAGUUUUGAGGUAGUUUGAAUUAAAAAUUCAAAAUUGUAAUGAGCCGGCCGGCCGUUUUAAAAGUUGUAGCUCUGUUUCUCCAUUUACUGCUCAUUUUAUACUUUUCAGUUGUUAUGUGACUUGCCGGGGUAGUCGGUUCGGGCUCGGAGGAAUUUCAGAAUAAAUUGAGAUACUUAGUCUCAAGGUUGGAAGCUUAAGUUGAAAAAAUUGACCGGAUGUUGACUUAUAUGUAAAAGACUCCUAAAUAGAGUUUUGAUGGUUCUAUCAGCUCCGUCGGGUGAUUUUGGACUUAGGCGCGUGUCCGGAUAGUGAUGUGGAGGUCCGUAGUUGAACUAGGCUUGAAAUGGUAGAAAUAAGAAAUUUGGAAGUUUGACCGAGAGCGGACUUUGUGGUUACCGGGCUCGGAUUUGGGUUCUGGGAGUUGGAGUAGGUCCGUGGUAUUAUUUGUGACUUGUGCACAAAAUUUGAGGUCAAUCAGACGUGAUUUGAUAGGUUUCGGCAUCGUUUGUAGAAAUUGGAUUUCCUUAGUUUCAUUAGGCUUGAAUUGGGGUGUGAUUCAUGUUUUUGAUACUGUUUUGAUGUGAUUUGAAGGCUCGAUUAAAUUCGUAGCAUGAUUUAGGACUUGUUGGUAUAAUUGAUUGAGGUCUUGGGGCCUCGGGUUGAUUUCGGAUGGUUAAUGGAUCGUAUUUAGAGUUUGAAAGAUUGUUGAAGCUGGAAGUCUUCUGGUACAAUCGCACCUGCUGUAAUGACCCGACCGGUCAUUUUGAGCAUUUGCACUUCGCUCGCUAGUUCUCGGGCAUGACUAGCCUCAUAUGAUAUAUUAUGACUUAUAUAAAUCAUCGAUUUUGGUUUUCAGGAUAAUCGGAAUAGAUUUGGAAGAACAAUUCUCAGCUUGAAGCUUUAAAUUUGAAAUGUUUGACCAAGGUUUGACUUUUUAGUAUUCAAUCUUGGAUUUAGUUAGCUCCGUCGGAUGAUUGUGGACUUAGGAGCGCGUCCGGAAUGGAAUUUGGAGGUUCGUGAUAGAUUUAGGCUUGAAUUGGCGAAAUUGAAAAUUUGGCAUUUCCGGUUGGUAGUGGAAAUUGUGAUAUCCUGGUCGGAAUAGAAUUCCGGAAAUUGGAGUAGGUCCGUUGUGUCAUUUAUGACGUGUGUGCAAAAUUUUAGGCCAUUCGUAUGAGGUUUGAUAGACUUUUUGAUUAUUUGCGGGAUUCAGAAGUUUUGGAAACCUUAGGCUUGAAUCCGAGGGUGUUUUGAUGAUUCGAUGUUGUUUAAAGUGUUUCGAAGAUUGGUAUAAGUUUGAACAGUGGUAUACGACUUUUUCGUACUUUUGGUUGAAGUCCCAGGGGGCCUCGAGAUGAUUUCGUAUAGUUAUCGGGAAGUUAGAAGUUAGAGUUUGCAGCUGAAGCUGCUGAGUUCCUAUCAUAACCGCACCUGCAGAUUGAGGACCGCAGGUGCGAGAUUGUAGAAGCGUGAGAUUAGCCGUAGAUGUGGCCAUAUGAGAGAAGGCCAGAAAUCACAGGUGUGGGAGGUGUAACGUACCUGCGAGACCGCAGGUGCAGGAAGAUAAGUGCAGGUGCGGUCCCAGGACAUUAAGUGUAAAACGCAGAUGCGGUUGGUUAGACCGCAGAAGCAUGAAAAGGACCGCAGGUGCGGAAUCCCUGGGUCAGAAAGUAUAUAAGUUCCCCUUCGCGAAAUUUGGGUUGUUUUCCACCAUUUUUAUCUAGAGUUGAAGCCUUUUGGAGGUUUUUGAAGAGAUAAUCAAGGGGGUUUCCAUUGAGGUGAGUUUCUUGAAUCUAAAACUCGAUUCUAUGUUGAUUUUCAGUUGUUUAAGCAUGAAAUUUAGGAGAUUAAAGGUGAAAAAUUAGGGAAGUUAGGGCUUGAAGUUGGAGAGGUAAAAUUGGGGAUUUGAGGGGCCAUUUGAGGUACGAUUUCGAUGUUCUUGGUAUGCAUGGACUCGUGGGAGGAUAAGGAUUCUAUUGAUGUGAUUUUUAUCAGAUUCCGAGAGGUGGGCCCGGGGUUGGGUUUGACCAAGUUCGGGAUUUUUGAUGUAAUUUGAUUAUUUUCGCAUAAGCUUCGUUCCCUUAUCAUAUAUUGAUGUUAUGCUUCUGAUUUUGGAUAGAUUCGACGCGAGUUAAGGCUGAAUCGAGAGGCAAGGGCAUCGCGGAGUAGUAUUUCAUUCGAUUUGAGGUAAGUAAUGAUUGUAAAUGUUGUCCUAAGGGUAUGAAACCCCGGAUUCACUUCGUUUCACUAUAUUGAGGUGACGCACACGCUAGAUGACGAGCGUUGGGACGUGCACCGUUGGGGAUUGUGACUUGGUCCGUCCCGUAUGACUGUUAAGUCACGUACUUGAUUGAAAACUGUUUGAUAUCAUUGUGUUUUGGAAAGUAUUGCUAUAUUUUGGGUGGAAUGCCAUAAUUGGGCCUCGUGCCAACUGUUUUGGGUUGAACGCCCUGUUUUACUGAUAGCCCGAGCGGCUUGAGAGGUUGAUGAUUGAGAGAGGCCGAGGGCCUAGUUGUGAGGAUUAUAUAUUAUGGAUUGGGCUGCAUGUCGCAGCGAUAUAGCACUUGGGUUGUAGGAGCCCCUUCGGAGUCUGCACACCCCAGUGAGCACAGUCGACUAUAUAUAUGGAUCGAGCUGCACGCCGCAGCGGUUAUUAUAAGGUACCUAUUGAGCGUGAGUGCUGAGUGUGAACGCUGAUUGAUGAGAGUUGAGUCAUGAGUGAUUGAGAGGCUUGCCCGGGGGGCUAUAUAUACACAUAUAAGAGUGAUGUUUUGUCUGAGGGGCUUGUUUAUGAAAUUACUGUUUUCACUCGUCCUUAAAGUGAGUCUCUAUUGAAUAUGUUAAUUAAACUACUGAUUUCACUUAUCUUUAUACUGAGCCUCUAUUUAAAAUGUUAAACAAAUGUUUUAAACAACAUUCUUUUAAACUGGAGUUUUUACGAGAUGUUCAGAAAUUUAAUCACUGAUUUGGCUUAUUAUUUCCACUGAGAUUUUUAAGUUAGGAGAUGUUUAUGAAUUCCCGUUUGCCCGAGGAACUGUAUACGAACUAUGUUUUGCCCGAGGGGCGAUUAUAAUUUUUCAUCACUUUCACUAUAAAUUACAUUGAACCUCUAUUGAAAUGGUUAGAAAGACAUUUUUCAAAGGAUUUUACUGAAGUCGGAAUUUAACGAGAUGAUUUGAUUUGUACCCUGUUUCGGAAGCAUAUUGUACUCACUGUGGUGCUAUGACGUGGUUUACGUGAUUUCUUACUGCUCAGUCUUUAUUUACUUUUAUUACUUACUGAGUUGGCGUACUAACAUUACUCCCUGCACCUUAUGUGCAGAUCUAGGUAUUUCUGAUCUCGGUGGCAGGUUCAUCGAAGUUAGCAAGGUAGCUGGCUGGCGAUCGCAGCCCUACUUUCUCCUUUCUUAUUCUCCCUUAGUGUAUUUUUGUGAUUUUUUCCUGACCAUGUUGGUCUUGAGGUUGUCAGACAGUUAUAGUAGAUUCUCAUGACUAGUGACCCCCCCUCCUGAUGUCUGGCCUUCAUUCUGCACUGUUAUUUUGUUUUAAACACUAUAUAAAGGUUUAUUGCUAAAAAGAUUGACUUUAUCCUAAGAAUGGGAAAUACUGAUUGGUUUUGGAUUUGUGUCGACUAGCCUUGUUCCAUGAUAGACGCCAUCACGACCAGGUUGGUUUUGGGGUUGUGACACCUGCGGAGUUUUGGUGCAUGUGCGAGCAAGGGAGCGCAGGUGUGGCCAUGGGAGGACUGUGCAAUGAUCGCAGGUGCGGAAGGAGCUCCGCAGAUGCGGAUUCGCAUCUGCAUAAGUUUGAUCGUGGAAGCGGAUUAGGCUAGGCAGCAGGGGUGUUGCAAAUGCGAGUAAGGCUCGCAAAUGCGAUCCCGUAAGUGCGAGACUAGGACCACAGAUGCGGUAGGUUGUCGGCUGAGUGAAUUCCACAAAAGCGCAAUUUUGUCUGCAAAAGCGGAUGCACAGGUGUGAGACCAGGCUCCGCAGGUGUGGAAAUGCCUGGGCAACGUUUUAAAACGAGGGUUUCCGGGAUUUUCACCAUUUUAAACAGUUCAAGCUCUGGAUUGGGCAAUAUUUGAGAGAAUUUUCGAGGGGUUUCUUGAGGUAAGUCACUUGUACUCAUUUUUGUUGGAUAAUCUUGUUUCCCCAUUGAAUUUCCCACCUAGUUUGUGAAUAUUUAAGGUGAAAUUUGUGAGUUUGAGGCUAGGGAUUUGGAGAGUUUGAUUUGGGGAUUUGGGUGGCGAUUUGGUGUCUGAUUUUGUGACUUUUGACGGAUUUCGAGACGUGAGCCCGGGGGCCGAUUUUUUAGUCAACUUUUGACUUUUGAUUAAUAACUUAGUGUGUUUCUUAUGUAAUUAAUUCCUUUAGCUCGUGUUGAUUAUAUUGAACUGUUUGUGGCUAGAUUCGGGGCAUUUGGAGGCCGAUUCACGAGGGAAGCGCGUGUUAGAAUAGGGAUUUAUACGUAUUGAGGUAAGUAACAGUUCUAAAUUUGGUUCUGAGGGUAAGAAACCAUGUAUUAUGUGUCAUGUCAUUAGUUUUGAGGUGAUGCGCAUGCUAGAUGACAGGCGUGUGGGCGUGCACCGUAGGAAUUUUGACUUGGUCAAUUCCAUGGAACUGUAUAAUUGAAUAAUCUAUUGUUAUCCGUAUAUUCUCCAUGUGUUAUAGAAAUUGAACUGCAAAUCAUGUUAGAAAUCAUAUUUAGGCUAUGUGUUUGUACCGUAGGGACACACAGAGGCCAUGUUACAAGUUAAAUUUUCUGCUAAAUUGUUGUUUUGUACUUAGUCACAGUUUUACCUCCAUAUUAUAACUCAGUCUCUAUUGUUCUUUUAUUGAUACAUUAUAUCAUCACUGUUUGGGCUGAUUAUCAUGAUUAUUGAGAUCCCGAGAGACAGGAGAUAUUGAUGACUGAGUGAAGCCGAGAGCCUGAUUGUGAAGAUACUUAUGGGAGCGGACUACACCCCGCAUCAUGUUUUAUUGAUUUAUGUCAUGAUUGACUUGUUAUGGCGCUUGGGCUGAAGAAGCCCUCCCCCCCCCCCGGAAUUUAUACAUUCCCCCAGUGAGCGCAGGUACCUACUGAGUGCGAGUGCCGAGCGACUGGGAGGAAUGAAAGACUAUGAGGAAUGAGUAACUGUGAGGUUGGAGUGAAUGGGAGGACUAUUGCUCUGAGAUUAUUCACUUGAUUUCAUUACUGUUGUACUUCAGCUGGCAUAUAUCACUAUCAUGUAAUUUCUAGAAAUAUUAUAUCCUGUUUCAAUUGAACUUGACAUGAAUUAACUAUUUUGGCCUUAAAUGUCAAACUUGAAAGCAUGCUUAUCGUCCUAUGUUGUAAUUUCUGUAAUUGAACUAUAUCUGUGAAGUUCGUCACUACUUUCAGUCCAUUAUUUAGUCUUGUUACUAGUUGGUUGUACUCACGCUAUACCCACACUUCCUGCGCAGAUCCAGGUGUUUCAGGACACUGUGGGUGUUCACUCUCUGUGCAGCUUGAUUGUUUGGAGAUUCCAAGGUAGUUGCCCGGCAUUCGCAGACCUUGUCUCUCCUUUCCUAUCUUUUAGCUUUAUGUAUUCAGUUUUACUCUUUCAUAGACAAUAUUUCUAGACUUGUGUUAUAUAGACGCUCAUAUACUUAGUGACACCCUGAUGUUGGAAAUUUCCGUAUUAGGUUUUGACCUUCUAUCCAGUUUUUGAGAGUUUUGAUGAUUUAAACAUGUGUUAUUUAAAUUUUCAUUUAAAAAGUGUUGGAAGUAUUUUGAAGUGUCGGCUUGCCUAGUACUACGUUAGACGUCAUCAUGAUAGGCUAAGUUUUGGGUCGUGACAGAAGUAAAAGAUGAACAUGAAAAAAAUAUGUGUAUCACACUAUGUAUUAUUUAUGUAUCACAUAUGUAUCAUAUUUGUAUCAAUUAUGUAUCACAUGUAUAUCCAUGUAUACUUGUGUGUGUGAUACAUGUUUGAUAUAUGUGUCGCAAAUAUUUUCCAAUUUUCUCAUUUUGAUUGGCUUAAAUAUUUUGGAAAAUAUUUUUUUUAUGAACUCAUUUUCCUCCAAUUGGAGGAAAAUAGUUUCCUUAUCAAGAGAAGGGUAAAUAUUUUUCAAAACUCCUUCUCAACCUUCCCCACCCACCCAACUCCACCCCACCCCCUCUCUCCAAAAAGACUUUUUUUUUCAAAUUUUAGUUUUUUUCCCGUCACCACCCACAAUGCUACCUCCCCUUCCCCCGCAAAUUUUUUUUUAUAUAUAUUUUCAAAUUUUAGUUUUUUUCCGUCACCACCAAAAAUGCUACCCCCCCCCCCCCCCGUGCAACAAAAAAAGUUUUUUUAUUUAUAUAUUUUCUGUCACGACAGGGAAUUUCCACCAACGGGACCGUGAUGGCGCUUAACAUCACACUCGCUAGGCAAACCAAUGUUAGAGAUUUAUUAACCAUUUUCCUUUACCAUUCAUUGAAUAAAAAUAAACAAGUUAAAACAAGUGAUCAUAACUGCGGAAGUAAGUAAAACACUGCUUUAUAUAUAAACUAUUGCCAGAACUAUUACUACUACUACCACCCAGAAACUGGUGUCACAAUCCAUGAACAUACUGUGAAUUACUACAAAUAUUGGUCUGAAAGAAAAAACAGAAAUGUAGAAUUGUAGAAGGGGACGCCAGAGCCUGCGGACGCCAACAGGACUACCUUGGGUCUCCAAACUGUGGACCUGCAGCCAAUCUCUCAAUCAGCCACUGCUUGCUCCGAAAUCUGCACAGAAAGUGCAGAGUGCAGUAUCAGUACAAUCGACCCCAUGUAGUGGUAAGUGCCGAGCCUAACCUCGACAGGGUAGUGACGAGGCUACGGCGGGGCAAUUACAAUAUAUCCUGCAUAUAGUAAAAGCGAAAAAGAAGUACGGUACAAAAUAAAAUAGUAACUUGCAACAAAAAUGAAUACGGAACUCAAAUAUCUUAUCAGUACCAACUAUAACCAAUCCUUAAGUGAUAUAAAACACUACAGAGUAACUUCACAACCGAAGAAGGAUACAUAAACAAUAAACUGAUGCGGUGCGUAUCCCGAUCCCACUAUAUAAUAACAUUUCACCAUUAUUCCUCCUCAAUAUAUCACCCUUAUUCCUCCUGUUGUGGCGUGCAACCCGAUCACACCAUAUCAGUGCCAAUAGAAUAAGAAGAACAAAACUUUCACAAUAUGGCUCAAAACUCCCACAAUAUUUAACCUCAACUAAAACAAACGGAAAGCGGUAAAAUUAUGAAACUUCACUCGAACUAUACUACUCAGCGAGACCAAUCCAAAGUAUACUAAUAAACACUGAUAAAUAGUUUAAACCAAUAAUAUGAAACGAUGAACUUUUAACAAUGAAAGCAGUAUCCGACAAGUAGCAACUAAUCAUAGAAAUAUCAAAUAGACAGGUAGCAAUUAAGGCAGGAUAAAUUAAGCACGGGAAUGGAACAGUCAAAUAGAUAAAUUGGCGGCGCAUUCGUCACCUCACCUAUAAGCCACACAUAUGGAAUUUUACAUAGCAAUUAAGUCGGGGAUCCCUAAUCCCUCGAGUCAAAGUUAGAUCAAACACUGACCUCAAUCCAACGGACAACUCAAAGCUCAAUUACGCCUUUUCCUUUAGUUUCCACCCCCGAACCACUCGUAUUUAGUCAUAACUAACUUAAUAACAUCAAUUAUCGCUAAGGAAAUCAAUUUUAAUACAUAAUUAUAAGUUUCUCAACAUUUCUUCCAAAAAGUCAAAAAUCGACCCCGGGCUCGCUUGGUCAAAACUAGAGGUUCGGACCAAAACUCAUUCACCCAUUCACCCCCGAGGCCGAAUAUGUAAUUAGUUUCGAAAUCCGACCUCAAAUCGAGGUCUAAAAUACAAUUAUACAAAAAUUCCUAAUUCUACCCAAACCCCCAAUUUUCACCAUGAAAUCCCUAAAUUUUUGGUUAAAUUCUUUUAGAAUGAAGUAAAAGAUUGAAAGAAACAAGUUAGGAAUCACUUACCUAUGAUUUGGGGAAGAAUUGAUCUUUGAAAAAUUACCUAGAGGGUUUCUUGUGUUUGGAAGUUUUGAAUAAUGAGAAAAAUCCAGUCUAAGCCAAGACUUAUCAGCUGCAGAUGUCGCAUCUGUGACCUGUGCUUCGCAUUCGCGAAGCUCGCAAAUGCGAACUCCCUCGCAUUCCUGCAAUCAUCGCAAAUGCGAAGUUCCAGUCGCAAAUGCGAACUUGGAUUUCCGCAUCGUAUGGGCCUUUUUCUUUGCGAGCCAGACUUCGUAUUUGCGAGAUCUUCAUACCUGAAGCACACCAGCAAAUUUUCUUAAUUCCAAAUCACUCUUUAGCCUAUCCAAAACUCACUCAAGCCUUCGAGGUUCCAAACCAAACAUGCACAGAAGUCUUAAAACAUUAUACGAACUUGCUCAUACGAUGAAAUCGCCAAAAUAACAACAAGAUUAAACAUUACCAAAAUUCUUUAAACCAUUAUAAUUUCAGUCUUAUAAUUUUCAUCAAAAAUUCAUUUCUCAGGCUAAGGACCUCGAAAUUCGAUUUCGGGCAUACGCCCAGGUCCUAUAGUUUGCUACGGACCCACCGGGACCAUCAGAAUACCGGUCCAGGUCUAUUUGCUCAUAACAUUGUCCGAAGUCAAUUAAUUAACUUUUUAGGCCAAAAAUUAUUAUUUCAUAAAUUUUCCAUAUAAAAGCUUUCCGGAAUCACGCCCAGACUAUGCACGCAAAUCGAGGAGCGAUAAAAUAAGGUUUUUAAGGACUCGAAACACAUAAUCGAGUUCUAAAACAUAAGAUGACCCUUUGGGGCAUCACAUUCUCCACCUCUAAAACAAUUGUUUGUCCUCGAACGGACAUAGAAAAGUACCUAAGCUGUUGAAAAGGUGGGGAUAUUUUCUCCGCACAUCGGACUCGGACUCCUAGGAGCUGCCUCGACAGGCUGACCUCUCCACUGUACUCAAACCGAAGGAUAACUCUUUGAUCUCAACUGACGAGCCUGUCGGUAUUAAAUGGCUACCGUCUCCUCCUCGUAGGUCAAAUCCCGGUCCAACUGGACAAUACUGAAGUCUAACACGUGGAAUUGAUCAUCGUGAUACUUCCGAAGCAUGGUCAUAUGAAACACUGGAUGUACAACUGAUAAACCUGAUGGCAAUGCAAGUUUAUAGGCCACCUCUCCCACUUGCUCAAGGAUUUUGAAAGGUUCGAUAUACCUAGGGCUUAACUUGCCCUUCUUCCCAAAUCGCGUCACACCCUUCAUGGGUGAUACCCGAAGCAACACUCUCUCUCCGAAGAUGAAUGACACAUUACGAACCUUACGGUCGGCAUAAAUCUUUUGCCUGGACUGAGAUGUACGAAGUCUAUCCUGAAUGAUCUUGACCUUAUCCAGGGCAUCCUGUACCAAAUCUGUACCCAAUAACCUAGCCUCCGUGGCUCAAACCACCAACCGGCAAUCGACACCGUCCUCUAUAAUGCCUCAUAGGGAACCAUCUUGAUGCUGACUGAUAACUGUUGUUGUAGGCAAACUCCGCUAACGACAAGAACUGAUCCCAAGAAAUCCUUCAUGAUCUGAAUAGUACGCUCGGAUUGUCCGUCCGUCUCAGGGUGAAAUGUUGUGCUCAACUCGACCCACGUACCCAACUCACGUUGUACCGCCCUUCAUAAGUGCGAGGUAAACUAUGUACCUCGAUCAGAAAUGAUAGACAUGAGCACCCUAUGAAGACGAACGAUCUCACGGAUAUAAAUCUCUGCCAAUCGCUCCAAAGAAUAGGAAACUACCGCAGGAAUGAAAUGUGUUGACUUGGUCAGUUUAUCUACAAUAACCCAAAGUGCAUCAAACUUCCUCUGAGUCUGUAGGAGUCCAACAACAAAAUCCAUGGUGAUACGCUCCCACUUCCACUCAGGAAUAUCUAUCUUCUGAAGCAAACCACCAGGUCUCUAAUGCUCGUACUUUACUUACAGAUAAUUUAAACACCAAGCUACAUGUUCAACUAUAUCCUUUUUCAUCCUCCUCUACCAACAAUGCUGCCGCAAGUCCUGAUACAUCUUAGCGACGCCCGGAUGAAUAGAAUACUGGGAACUGUGGGCCUCCUCUAGAAUCAACUCAUGAAGUCUAUCCACAUUAGGUACACAAACACGACCAUACAUCCUCAAAACUCCAUCGUCUCCAACCGUAACCUGCUUGGAAUCACCGUGCCGCACUGUGUCCCUAAGGACAAGCAAAUGAGGGUCAUCACACUGCUGAUCCAUGAUGCGCUCAAAUAAAAAAGACAGAGCAACUAUGCAAGCUAAAACACGACUGGGCUCAGAAACAUCCAACCUCACGAACUGAUUGGCCAAUGCCUGAACAUCUAAUGCAAGCGGUUUCUCACCAACUAGAAUUUACACAAGGCUGCCCAUACUAGCUGACUUUCUACUCAAAGCAUCAGCCACCACAUUGGCCUUCCCGGGAUGAUACAAGAUGGUGAUAUCAUAGUCUUUCAAUAACUCCAACCACCUUCUCUGCCUCAAAUUGAGCUCUUUUUGUUUGAACAAAUACUGCAAACUCUUAUGAUCCGUGAACACCUCACACGACAUGCCAUAGAGAUAGUGCCUCCAAAUCUUCAGCACGUGAACAAUGGCUGUCAGCUCCAAGUCAUGAACUAGAUAGUUCUUCUUGUGAAUCUUUAGCUUCCGCAAAGCAUAUGCAAUAACCUUGCCACCCUGCAUCAAUACCGCACUAAGUCCAAUACGAGAUGCAUCACAAUAUACUGUAUAGGGCCCUAAACCCAUGGGCAACACCAACACUGGCGUUGUAGUCAAAGCUAUCUUGAGCUUCUGAAAGAUCGCUUCACACCCGUCUGAUCAUCUGAACGGGGCACCCUUCUGGGUCAACCUAGUCAAUGGGGUUGAUAUAGAUGAAAACCCCUUUAUGAACUGACGGUAAUAACCCGCCAAACCCAAGAAACUACGGAUCUCUGUGGCUAAAGUAGGUCUAGGCAAAUUCUGAACGGCCUCAAUCUUCUUAGGAUCCACCUGAAUACCCACUGCUGAUACAAUGUGACCCAAGAAAGCAACUGAACUCAACCAAAAUGCACAUUUCAAAAACUUAGCAUAUAACUGGUUGUCUCUCAGAGUUUGAAGAACGAUUCGAAGAUGAUGCUCAUGCUCCUCUCAACUGCGGGGGUAGAUCAAGAUAUCAUCAAUAAAAAUAAUCACAAAAGAAUCCAGGUAAGGCUUGAACACCCGGUUCAUCAAAUCGAUAAAUGUUGUUGGGGUAUUUGUCAAGCCAAAUGACUUCACUAGAAACUCAUAAUGCCCAUAUCGAGUCUGAAAAGCUGUCUUAGGGACAUCGGAUGCCCUAAUCUUCAACUGAUGGUAGCCAGACCUCAAAUCGAUAUUUGAAAACACCUUUGCAUCCUAAAGCUAAUCAAAUAAGUCAUCAAUACUUGACAAUGUAUAUUUGUUCUUGAUGGUGACUUUGUUCAACUACCGAUAGUCUAUACACAUCCUCAUCGACCCAUCCUUCUUCUUUACAAACAAUACCGGCGCAGCCUAAGGCGAGACACUUGGUCUAAUAAAGCCCUUAUCAAGCAAAUCUUGAAACUGCUCCUUCAAUUCUUUCAACUCUAGCGGGGCCAUGCGGUAUGGCGAAAUAAAAAUGGGUUGAGUGCCCGGAACCAAAUCAAUACAGAAGUCAAUAUCCCUGUCAGGUUGCAACCCCGGCAGGUCUGCAGGAAAUAGCUUAGGAAAUUCCCGAACAACUGGUACAGAAUCCAUAUAAGGAACCUCCAUACUAGAAUCACGAACAUAAGCCAAAUAACCCAAACACCCCUUCUCGACCAUAUGCCAAGCCUUCAUAUAAGAGGCAACCCUACUGGUAGAAGACCAGGAGUCCCUCUCCACUUCAAUCGAGGCAACCCUGGCAAGGCUAAUGUCAUUAUCUUGGCAUGACAGUCCAAUAUGGAAUGAUAAGGUGACAACCAAUCCAUCCCCAUAAUAACAUCGAAAUCAACCAUAUCGAUAAGUGGGAGAUCUACACUAGUCUUGAGACUCUCAAUAAUAACCACACACGAAUGAUAGACAUGAUCUACAAUAAUAGAAUCCCCCACCGAUGUAGACACAUACAUAGGAGCACUCAAAGAAUCACGAGGCAUAACCAAAUAUGAAGCAAAAUAAGAUGACACAUAGAAGUAUGUAGACCCUAGAUCAAAUAGAAUUGAAGCAUCUCUACUGCAAACUGAAACAUUACCUGUGAUAACAACGUCGGAUGACUCAGCCUCAGGCCUAGCUGGGAAAGCGUAUCAUCGAGGUUGGGCCCCACCAUUCUGAACCAUAUCCCUGGGACGGCCUCCUGCUCGCUGUCCUCCACCUCUAGCAACCUAACCUCUACCUCUAGCGGUCUGACCUCUACUUUUGGCUCCCUGAACCCUACCUCUAGCUAGAUGAGCGGGCAGUGCCGAAAUAAUGGCACGAAAACCUUGCUGCUGUGACUGAACACCCACUAAUCUCGGACAGGUCCAACAGAUAUGCACAUACUCACCACACUCGAAGCAUCUAUCCUGAUACUAUGGCUGUGGAAACUGAGACUGACCCUGACGGGCCGACUGACCGCGAUAAUAACUCUAAAGAGGAGAUGCUCUAAUAGGAGCUGGUGGUGCACUAUAAGCUGGCUGCCCUGAAGGAGGUACAUAAGGACUACGACUCCUUGAAGCUCCAUGGGAUGUCUGAAGUACUGAAUGAAACAGCCUAGGAAGAUGGCCCCUACCAAACGUACCUCGACCACCAGAUGAGGCCACACUAAAUCUACUGGAGUGAUGCGGCCUCUUAUCAGACCCCUGACCACUCCCUUGAGCUAGGACUAUCUCAACUCGUCUGGCCACAUUGGUUGAAUAGAAAGAAAUCUCACUCCAUAUCUCCUUAGCCAUCUGCAAUCUGAUAGGCUGAGCAAGUCCCUCAAUAAACCUCCUCACCCUCUAUCUCUCUCUCUCUGUAGGAAGUAUAAGAAGAGCAUGACGAGCCAAAUCAACAAAUCUAGUCUCGUACUGAGUGACAGUCAUAGAACCCUACUGACGGCGCUCGAAAUGCCUCCGGUAGUCCUCUAUUUGAGUGAUAGGAAGAUACUUCUCCAGAAAUAGUAGAGAUAACUGGUCCCAAGUAAGAGCUGGCGACCCAGCUGAUCUGGCCAAACAAAAAUCCCUCCACCAUUUCUUGGCGGAACCUGAUAGACGAAAGGUAGCAAAGUCGACCCCAUUGGUCUCCACUAUCCCCAUGUUCCGUAAUACCCGUGGCAACUAUCCAGAUAGUCCUGGGGAUCCUCUGAAGGUGUACCGCUAUACUGAGUGGUGAAAAGCUUGGUAAACUUAUCCAAUCUCCACAAAGCCUCAUAAGACAUAGCUGAUCCAUCGUCAGUCUAUGCUACAACUCCUGGCGGAACUACACCAACCAGCUGAGUUGCUGGGGUCUGAAACUGGGGAGCAAUAUGCUCCGGAGUGUGAGUAGCGGGAGUCUGGGCUCCUCCCUCUGCCUGAGAGACGGCUGGUGCUACAUGAAAUGUGCCAAACUGAGCAACACUCUCCAUAAGGCCCACUAGACGGACCAAAGCAUCUUGAAGUAUUGCGGUAGUGAUGAACCCCUCUAGAACCUGAGAUGGCCCUGCUGGAACGGUCUAGGCUGGAGCCUCCUCAUCAAACUCUACCUGAGGCUUCGCUGCUGGUGCUGGUGCUCAAGCUCUGGCUGAGCCCUGCCCUUGCCUCGUCAUCUGCCCCUCGUAGGAGCUGCCAAUGGGGUCUUUGGCUGCUGCUCAGCUGAAAAAGCGGUACGUGUUCUCUCUAUCUACAAAGGAGCAAGAGUAGAGAGGUCAAUUACCAUUGAGAGAUCAAAUCGCACGACGGAGAUGAAUAGAAGUGAAAUUGUUUCUAAACUCUGUAGCCUCUGGGGGAUAAGCACAGACAUCUUCAUACCGAUCCCUCAGACUCUACUAAGCUUGUCCAAAAAUUGUGAGACCUAGGCAACCUAGUGCUCUGAUACCAACUUGUCACGAUCCGGAAUUCCCACCAACAGGACCAUGAUGGCGCCUAACACACACUCGUUAGGCAAGACAAUGUUAGAGAUUUAUUAACCAUUUUCCUUUACAAUUUAUUGAAUAAAAAUAAACAAGUUAAAACAAGUGAUCAUAACUGCGGAAGUAAGUAAAACACUGCUUUAUAUAUAAACUAUUGCCAAAACUAUUACUACUCCCAGAAACUGGUGUCACAAUCCACGAACAUACUAUGAUUACUACAAAUAUUGGUCUGAAAGAAAAACAAAAAUGCAUAAAUGUAAAAGGGGACGCUAGGGCCUACGGACGCUAAUAGGACUACCUUGUGUCUCCAAACUAUGGACCUGCAGUCAAACACUCAAUCAGCCACUGCCUACUCCGAAAUCUACACAGAAAGUGCAAAGUGCAGUAUCAGUACAACCGACCCCAUGUAUUGGUAAGUGUCGAGCCUAACAUCGACGAGGUAGUGACGAGGCUACGGUGGGGCAAUUACAAUAUAUCCUGCAUACAUUAUAUAAUUAAGCGAAAAAGAAGUACAGUACAAAAUGAAACAGUAACUUGCGACAAAAAUGAAUACGGAACUCAAAUAUCUUAUCAGUACCAGUUAUAACCAAUCCUUAAGUGAGACACAACAUUAUAGAGUAACUUCACAGCAGAAGAAGGAUACAUAAACAAUAAACCGAUGCGGCGCGCAUCCCGAUCCCACUAUAUAAUCAGUAACAGUAUGAACAUUCACCCUUAUUACUCCUUAUCAAUCCACUCUUAUUCCUUCUGUUGCAGCGUGCAACCCGAUCCCACCGUACAAUAGUAAUUCACCCUUGUUACUCCUCAAUAUAUCACCUUUAUUCCUCUUGUUGCGGUGCGCAACCCGAUCCCACCAUAUCAGUGCCAAUCAUACAAUAAGAACAUAAAUUUCACAAUAUGGCUCAAAACUCCCCAUAAUAUUUAACCUCAACUAAAACAAACGGGAAGCUGUAAAAUUAUGAAACUUCACUCGAACUACACUACUCAACGAGAUUAAUCCAAAGUAUACUAAUAAACACUGAUAAAUAUCUUAAACCAAUAAUAUGAAACGAUGAAACCACGUAAUGUCCAAUACUUUUAACAAUGAAAGCUAUAUCCGAGAAGUAGCAACUAAUCAUGGAAAUAUUAAAUAGACAGGUAGCAAUUAAGGCAGGGAACAAUAAAUUAAGCACGGGAAGGGAACAAUCAAACAGAUAAAUUGGCGGCGCAUAGGUACUCGUCACCUCACCUAUACGUCACACACAUGGAAUUUCACAUAGAAAUUAAGUCGAGGAUCCCUAAUCUCUCGAGUCAAAGUUAGACCAAACACUUACCUUAAUCCAACGACCAACUCAAAGCUCAAUUACGGCUUUUCCUUUAGUUUCUACCUUCGAACCACUCGUAUCUAGUUAUAAUUAACUUAAUAACAUCAUUUAUCGCUAAGAAAAUCAAUUCCAAUACAUAAUUAUAGGUUUUCCAAUAUUUUCCCCCAAAAAAUCAAAAACUGACCCCGGGCUCGCUUGAUCAAAACUCGAGGUUCGGACCAAAACCCAUUCACCCCUGAGCCCGAAUAUGUAAUUAGUUUCGAAAUCCGACCUCAAAUCGAGGUCUAAAUUCCAAUUAUAUAAAAAUCACUAAUUUUACCCAAGCUCCCAAUUUUCACCGUGAAAUCGCUAAAUAUUUGGUUGAAUUCUUGUAGAAUGAAGUGAAAGAUUGAAAGAAACAAGUUAAGAAUCACUUACCUAUGAUUUGGGGAAGAAUUGAUCUUUGAAAAAUCGCCUAGAGGGUUUCUUGUAUUUGGAAGCUUUUAAAAAUGAGAAAAAUCCCGUCUAAGCCAAGACUUAUCAGCUGCAGAUAUCGCAUUUGCGAAGCUCGUAAAUGCGAGAAAAGUUUCGUAAAUGCGAACUCCCUUGCAUUCCUGCAGGUAUCGUAAAUGCGUAGAUCCAUUCUCAAAUGCGGACCUUUUCUUCGCAAAUGCAAACUACCCAGUCCCCUCCCAUGCUUACAAAUGCGAACAUUCUUCGCAAAUGCGAGGCUCGCAUUUGCGAGAUCUGCAGACCUGAAGCAUACCAGCAAAUUUUCUUAAGUCCAAAUCACUUUGUAGCCUAUCCAAAACUCACCCGAGCUCUCGGGGCUCCAAACCAAAUAUGCACACAAGUCUUAAAACAUUAUACAAACUUGUUCGUGCGAUCAAAUUGCCAAAAUAACACCUAGAACUACGAAUUUAUUACCAAAUUGCAUGAAAUUUUCAAGAAAGUUUUAAAACUUCUAUUUUCUCAAUCGAAGGUCUGAAUCACGUCAAAUCAGUUCCGUUUCUCACCAAAUUAUACAGAUAAUGUAUAAAUAUCACAACAAACCUGUACCGAGCUUCGGAACCAAAAUACAGACCUGAUACCACUAAGAUCAAACAUUACCAAAAUUCUUUAAACCAUUAUAAUUUCAAUCUUAUAAUUUUCAUCAAAAAUUUAUUUCUUGGGCUACGGACCUCGGAAUUUGAUUCCGGGCAUACGCCCAAGUCUCAUAUUUUACUACGGACCCACCAGGACCGUCAGAACACGGGUCCGGAUUCGUUUACUCAAAAUAUUAACCAAAGUCAACUAAAAUCAACUUUUUAUGUCAAAAAUUAUUAUUUCAUAAAUUUUCCACAUAAAUGCUUUCCAGAAUUAUGCCCGGACUGCGUACGCAAAUCGAGAAGAGAUAAAACGAGGUUUUAAGGCCUCGAAAUAUGGAAUUGAGUUCUAAAACAUAAGAUGACCCUUUGGGUCAUCACAUUCUCAAUUUUAGUUUUUUUUAUCUUUGGGUUUUUAGGUUUGAAAUUUUACAGGUUUCAAAGUUAUGAGUUCGGAGGUUUAUGUGUUUGGAAGAUUAAGGGUUUAGAAAUUAUAAAGUUUACGGAUUCGAAAGUUUAGCGGUUCGAAAGUUUAUGAAAUUUGUGGGUUCGGAAGGUUGUUGGUUCGAAAGCUUAUAGCUUCAUAUUUAUUGUAUCUAAAUUAUUUAUAAAUACUUUUGAGAAGUUAUUUUUCUUAAUUUGUGUACCAAAUACCGAAAAAUGAAUAAGAUUACUACUUGUUUUUCAAGAAAAUAUUUUCUUAGAAAAUAUUUUCCGUGGAAAACAUUUUCCGUGGAAAAUUUUUUCCGUUAUACCAAACACCCCCUUUGUCACAAUUGAGAUUGGGAUUCAAAGUAGUAAAAGCCUCAGGGGUCACACUAAAAUUCUGCAUAAUGCUGAAGCAUGUGUCUCCAAUAUUUGCACCAUAAAUCUUACUGCAUAUUAUAAUUAUUGAAAAAUAAAAGAUAAAUUACACAACUAGUAUUUGGUCGAUGAGUGAAAAUGUGCUAUUAUAUUAAAGUUAGUUAGUAAUAUUAUCAAAUCAAAUAGUUUUUUAUGAAAUUUCUGAGUAUUAAAGAUGGAUGAUAAUAUCUAGGUUUUAUUUUGAGCAAGUGGCAUUAAAAACUAAGAUAGUUUGAACUUCGAAGGAAAAUGUGAGGAAAGUCAUUUUACGUAUGAACAUAUUUUCUAGUGAUCAAACACUAAAAAUGACUUCCAUUGUAGCAAAAAUAUUCUUAACUAUUUUCUUAGAAACUUACUUCGAUCCAUACCAAAAACACCUAUAAGUAAUUUAUUUUAUUUUUUAAAGAAAAUGACUUCCCUUAGUAAAAAAAAACACCCUUAAGUUACAUGGAAGGAAGUUGUUUCGAAAGAUCUAUAAAUCAUUGUAAGCACCGUAAAUUUAGCUAAAGAUAAAGUCCAAUGGAAGAGAAAAAUCCAUAUUGGUGAUGCCUACUAAUUGAGAAUAGGUUUUAGACUUGGUAGAGAACUACCACCACUACUACUACUACUAUUAUUAUUAUUAUUAUUAUUACUAUUAUUAUUAUUAUUAUUAUUAUUAUUAUUAUUAUUAUUANNNNNNNNNNNNNNNNNNNNNNNNNNNNNNNNNNNNNNNNNNNNNNNNNNNNNNNNNNNNNNNNNNNNNNNNNNNNNNNNNNNNNNNNNNNNNNNNNNNNNNNNNNNNNNNNNNNNNNNNNNNNNNNNNNNNNNNNNNNNNNNNNNNNNNNNNNNNNNNNNNNNNNNNNNNNNNNNNNNNNNNNNNNNNNNNNNNNNNNNNNNNNNNNNNNNNNNNNNNNNNNNNNNNNNNNNNNNNNNNNNNNNNNNNNNNNNNNNNNNNNNNNNNNNNNNNNNNNNNNNNNNNNNNNNNNNNNNNNNNNNNNNNNNNNNNNNNNNNNNNNNNNNNNNNNNNNNNNNNNNNNNNNNNNNNNNNNNNNNNNNNNNNNNNNNNNNNNNNNNNNNNNNNNNNNNNNNNNNNNNNNNNNNNNNNNNNNNNNNNNNNNNNNNNNNNNNNNNNNNNNNNNNNNNNNNNNNNNNNNNNNNNNNNNNNNNNNNNNNNNNNNNNNNNNNNNNNNNNNNNNNNNNNNNNNNNNNNNNNNNNNNNNNNNNNNNNNNNNNNNNNNNNNNNNNNNNNNNNNNNNNNNNNNNNNNNNNNNNNNNNNNNNNNNNNNNNNNNNNNNNNNNNNNNNNNNNNNNNNNNNNNNNNNNNNNNNNNNNNNNNNUUUUGUUUCCAAAUGGUUCUAACUCAUUCCAUCAAGUUAAUUUAAUUAAGAAUGACAUGCUAGUAGUAAUAGCUGGGUAAUAUACCAAAAUGCUGCUCAAUAGAGGGAAUAAGUAGAUUAUAGAUAGAAUUUGAUCGUCUUGUGCAAGUUAUAUAUAAACAAUUAUGAAGUACGCUAAAAAAUCAGCUUAGAACAUGAAUUAAUUAAAUAAAUUGUUGAAGAAAGAAGCUGGAAUAUGAAAAGAAAACCCGAAACAAUACGAAAAAGCUAGAUUAAAUUGCUUUUUUAAUCAUACAUUAGCUUUACUCUUUAUUCGCAAAUCAGACAGUACUGAUUUAAUUGUGAGUAUUUAUUUCUUGAGCUUGAUAAUCCCUUGCUUUAUACUUUAGAUGGAGGAACCAUCAAGGCAUAUCCAUUCACCAACGAACAUUUUGUUACAAUUGAGGUUAGGGUUGAAAGCAGUAAAAACCUCAGGGGUCACACUGAAAUUUCCCAUAAUGCUGAAGCAUGUGUCUCCAAUAUUUGCACCAUAAAUCUUACUACACACUAGA
RNAcentral lists this long non-coding RNA (46678 nucleotides) under Nicotiana tabacum (common tobacco). RNAcentral describes it as "long non-coding RNA (NTAB_LNC011536)". Lineage: Eukaryota; Viridiplantae; Streptophyta; Magnoliopsida; Solanales; Solanaceae. The record is from RNAcentral.